RNAcentral lists this long non-coding RNA (82892 nucleotides) under Fragaria vesca (wild strawberry). RNAcentral describes it as "long non-coding RNA (FVES_LNC003504)". The record is from RNAcentral. Lineage: Eukaryota; Viridiplantae; Streptophyta; Magnoliopsida; Rosales; Rosaceae.
AUCUCCCGCUCCGAGGCGAGCGCCUUAUCCAUUAGGCCACGCGAUCUCCAUGCAAACAAUUAGCCAUAGAUACUAAUAAAUUAUCAUAAACUUUCUUAAACUGAAAGAAAGAACAACACUGAUAUUACGUCUCUUACUGAAAGAAGAUUACAAGAACACUUUCUCCUCAAGAAAAAAAAAAAAAAAAAAAAAAUUAACAAUACAAGAACACUCGUAUUACCUAUCUUGUCAAGUUCGUAAAGGUGAUAUAAAUAGUUAAAUAAUAGGCCAUUGUAACAACUUUGAUGAUUGUUCAAGAGGAACUCCGAUUCAUCAUCUUGUAUCGGUAACAGAUUCGUUUCUUCUUGAUUAAUGCUCCAUUUUCGAUUGUUAACACAAUGUUUCCAGGCUCCUUGCAUGUGAAAGAGUUUCGGAUUGGACCCUCAUGCCCGCUGAUCUUCUUCCUCCUCUGUAUAAUAACGCUAUAUGAGCUGUCAUCCGUUGGGAUAAAUUCUUCCUUGUAGUUCACUUCCCAACCAGACACUAGUACUUCCCACAUUAAACUCACUCCUGCCUGCAGUUUCACAUACAAGAGUAACAAGAAAAUUAACUAACUUGCCUACGAUGUUCAUCUAGAAUUAGUUUAUUAUAGCUUCGAUGCUACCUUAAUUAGAGGACAUACCUGCAUUGGGAUACGGAUAAUUUCUGUUGAUGAUUGAUUGAGAAAGAUCUCUGAGAUAUCAUCUUCGGUUGAGAAAUCAGGAUCGUUUUCCUUUCUGAAGCCACCAUAAUGAACUGGUAGUUCCUCUAAAGCUAUGUACCUACAAUAAAGAAGCUUCAAAAUAAGUUCCAUAAUUUCUAAGAUACUAGUCGUUAUCACCAAUUGAUGACAUUGAAGGGAGAAACAUUACUGGAGCAAAACGUCGUUGACUUUAGCCGGCCGAGCAAAGAUGAACUUGCUAUUGGAUUUUGGGGUCAAAAAUGGUGAUAGGAAAGUGCUAGCACUGAAGGCAUAGUACCAAAAAGGAACAUUGAUGAAGAUCUACAUAGAGAAGUAAGUGUUUCAUCAAUGACUUGCAGUACAAGGUAAACUAAUCCAUGGAACCUCCAAUUCAUAGUCUAUAAAGUGAUCUGAAAUAAGCUGUUAACAGUAAAUAAAAAUUUUGUGAAUAGAAGAUGUAUGAAUGAAGAAAAUCUUACAUGUCUUGCAACGAAUUCAGGAUAAUUGUCCUGAUGAAGAGUAAGGAUUUGUUUCAAAGCAAUUCGAAGCUCCUUCUUAGAUGGACCAGGCAUAUCCUUGCAAUCAUUGACGAGGAAUAUUGAAGACACACCACCAGACUUGAAGUCGAGCUUCUGAAUUGCUCUUUCCAUUAGUUGAAUUCUAGACCUUAUAAACACGUUGCGCUUCUCUUCAGUCCCUAGUACCUUGUUGUAUAACUCUUCAUUCCCAAACAGUUUAAAAGAGCUAUAAUGAACUGGGUGUCCCUCACGACUGACACCAUCCAUGAUACUUAUGGAACCAAGAUCCUCAUCAAAGUUCUCAUCUAGUAUCGAAUCUAUGUUGUUGUCAUUCCUCCAUUUGAGCGUAUUCCUUAACAUCUCGAAAGCAUCAUUGACCUCAAAGUCCUUGGCCUUCAAAAAUUUCAAUAAUAUGACAUUAGUGGCAUUAUCUUCUUUACUAGGUAAUAAGGGUACUCCCCAAAUUGCAAUAUCUUUGUUGAUGUUGGAAUGAACUUUAGCCACAUCUUUGUUGUUCUCGUUUGAUUCUGCUUUUUUCUCAUCUUCCUCACCUUCUUGCUUAGCUUCAACGUCAUCUACUUCUUGAGAUGUUUCCUUCUCUUGCUUCAUUUCAUUCGCAGCUUGGUCCUUAUCUACCUUUAACAAAUGAUUUUCAUGUAUCGCCUUUUCAAUUUUUGAUCUCAACUCUGCCAAUGCUUUCUUCUCUUGCUCGUUUAAUUCUAAAAGAGAGUUUAUUUCUUCCCUUAAUGAUGAACAUUUAUCAACUUCACCAGAUUCAGAAACAUCUGCAUUUCCAACCUGAUCAUUUUCCUUCUCCUCUUUCAAACCCACCUCGUUUGUAGUUUCUUCUUUCAACUUAUUCUCCACCACUAUCUCUAUUGGUUCCGCUUUGAUCUUAUUCUUCUCCUUCUUAUGAACCACCUCUUCAAUUAUACCCCCUUUAUCCUUUAAUUCCUCUUCUAAUUUUUCUUCUGUUGCCAUAGAUGAACUUUUCUCAAGUUCUGUACAUUUGUAAGCAUAAGCUUUUUCAACCUCAUGUUUCUUAUUCUUUGUUUGGUCAACUUCCUUUCCUUUGUUCUCGACCACAUUCUCCCUUGGUGUUUCUUCAAUCUUCUUUGUCAUAUUCUUCACCACCCCUUCAACUACACCCUUAUCUUUCUGGGCUUCUUCUAGAUUUUCUUUUGUUGCCAUCGAUGGACGUUCCUCAACUUUUGUACGUUUGGAAUCAUCGACAUUUUCAACCCCAUCUUUCUUUUUCUCCGUUUUAUCAACUUCUUUUCCCUUGUUCUCUACCACGUUCUCCCUAGGUUCCGCUUCAUUCUUCUUCUUGUCAUCUUUCACCACCCCUUCAACUACACCCUUAUCAUUCUGGGCCUCGUUUUGAUUUUCUUUUGUUGCCAUAGAUGAAUUCUUCUCACUUUUGGUAUAAUCUUGUUUUCCCUUGUUAUCCACCACAAUCUCCCGUUGUUCCGCUCCAGUCUUAUUCUUCUCCUCUUUCACUACCUCAUUCUUUGAGGCAUCUUCUACCUUAACUUUUGUUGUCAUGGAUGAACUUUUCUCAUCUCUGAUAUAAUUGGAGGCAUCGGUCUUUUCGACCUCAUCCUUUUUCUUCUCUGUUUUAUCAGCUUCUGUUUUCUUGUUCUCUACCACAAUCUCUCUUGGUUUCGCUUCAAUCUUCUUGCCCUCCUCUUUCCCCGUCUCUUUAACUGCACCUGUAUGCUUUUGGGCCUCUUCUAACUUUUCUUUUGUUUCUAUGGAUGAUAUUUUCUCAACUUUUGUAUUCUUAGGAGCAUCAGCCUUUUCAAUCCCAUCUUUCUUCAUUUCUGUUUGAUCAGCUUGUUUUCCCUUAUUCUCUACCACCACAAUCUCCCUCGGUUGCGCUUCGAUUUUCUUGUUCUCGUCUUUUACCACUUCUUCAGCUGUAUCUCUUUUCUCCUGGGCUUGUUUUAGGUUUUCUUUUGUUGCCAUGGACAAACUUUCCUCAGCUUUUUUAUAUUUAGAAUCAUCGGCCUUCACAACCUCAUCUUUCUUCUUCUCUGUUUUAUUAGCUUCUUUUACCUUGUUCCCCUCCACAACCUCCCCUGGUUUCACCGCCUCAUCAAUUACACCUAUAUCCUUCUGGGCCUCUUGUAACUUUCCUUUUGUUGCAAUGGUUGCCUCAUCUUUCUUUUUCUCUGUUUCAUUGUCUUCUUUUCUCUUGUUCUCCACACCAAUCUCUUUUAUUUUAGCUUCAAUCUUCUUAUUGUCCUCUUCAACCAUUGAUGCUUCGGUUGUUACAGGGUCAUUGGUUUUUAUAAAAUCGUCAGCUUUCCCUACAUGGUUGACAUCCUUUAAUGCAUUAUCUUUGUCUUUGAUAUGUUCUUCACGAUCAGCUGCUUUAUCUUUCAGAGGAUCUUCUACAUGUUCUCCUGUUGCCAUAGCAUGAACAUUACCAGAAAAAAAAAAAAUAGUUCUAGGAAUUGAGGAAACAAAAUGUAUGGAGAUAAUUAAGGUAUUGAUCUAAGACGAUUGAAGCACAAUCGAAUAAGAUAAGCAGAGAUUUUCUUGCCAUCUUUUUCUCCCAUUUUCUUUUUUCUUCCUAUUUUUGGUGGUAGUUAAGCAGUUUUAAAUGAGAGUUUGAAAUUUCCUAGAUCUAAGUACAGUUCUCAUAUGAUUUGCCAAAGAUAUCAAAAUCUUAAAUCUUAUAUAGGUGACAAAAAUAGUGUUCAACCAUCAGCUCUUUUCCUUUCUCAUUUUCUUACAAACUCACCAUGCUGCAACUGAACCGUGUAAUUAACUAAUAUGCAAUCUCAGUAUUUUAUUGGAUUCACCCAUCCACAUGACAUUAUGAUCAUGUACGUAUAUAUACAAACGCAGUUAACAAAAUUGAAACUCAAAAAGUUAGUCUAAAUAUUUCAAAUACAGGAGGUGAAGACCAGAUGUCGAAGAAGAGGUUUCCUUAUUAUGAGCCCUUAAUAUGAUCAAUUUAAAAAUGAAAAGACCAGACGAAAGAAUUGAGGGUUUUCAGUCUUAAAUCUAUCUUUGCAUCUUUAAUCGGGUGACUUGCAUAUCAAUGGUGCAAGUGUAUCUUGAUGCGUGCAAUCCACUCUCAUUAAAAAAAAUUAAAUGAGGUUUUUAUAAUUAAUUUUUUAAAAAUUAUUAAAUCUUUUUCGUGUCUUAAUUGAAUAAAAAAUAGGUUACAAACAGUCAUAUAUGUCGGUAUAUAGCCAACAAGAUGGUGGAAAGACCGGAAACAAUAAAUGGUUUCUUAGGAUAUUAAGAGACAUGAAUUAAUUCUUCUUUUUUUUUGAAUGAAAACGCUAUUAAUUUUAUUGCAAAUAUAAAUAUAGGCUCAAUAGAGCUUGGUUACAUAACAUAGCUUGAUGGCAAGCUUUCUUAAACACAUCUAAUAAGUCUGUAUGGUGUGUUAUCAUAGUUUUUGAGAUAUGUACUAGCCUAAGGCCAGAGCGGUCAUUACAUACUAUUUCGCUGUCAUUUACAGAUAGAACAAGAAGCUAUGGUAGUACCCACAUGGGUAUAUAGAAAAGGGUUUGCUCAUUAAUCGUAUCAUGCUCCACUAACAGUGAAGAACUUGAAUCACAUUUCGGUACAACUCCAGACGAUUCAAUAAUACCAUUCAUGCCAAGAUAGACAUAUUUUGUUGAAUCAAAAUCUUUCGGAUCCCAAAUACGAAACCCUAAUAGUUUAGAGCUCAUCCAUUUGGCCACAAGAUAGCCCAAAUCCAGCUAUUGGGUCUUCCAUCAUAUCGUACUUUGGGCACCUAAAAUGAGUAGGGUGAUUUGGGCAUCCCUUCAGAAGCCAUCUACCUGCCUGACCAAUGCCCCGCUGUACAAGCUGAUUUUGGCACCGCAUCAACAAACCUCACCGCCUCGCACUUAGACUCUCUAUAAACUGAAUCGCCGUUCUUGACAAGCCCCGAUCCCCAAUCUAGUUUAUAUUCAAGAUCGAUCUAGAUUGAGAUCUCCUUCCAGAUCGUUGGUACAUGCCUCCUGUCAUCGAUCCACCAUGAAUAGUUAUCUUGUUUGUAACUUUGUAAGUUUCAAAAAGGAUUUAAUUAAGACUACAUGGUGAAUCAUUAUCUCUAUUAAUUAAGACAUUAAAAAAGAAAUUAAGACGGUUUAUAUACGUACUUCUCUUUAUUCAACUCAUAUUGAAUCAUUCUCAAAAAAAAAAAAAAACCCUCAUAUGAAAUAACCGACUUAAGUAUAAACCACAAGUAAAGGCGAAAGGAUAUAUCAAAAUCAAAAUUAAAGCUCACAAAGUUCAUAAUUUUAUUUUUCCAAAAAAAAGUUCGAUCAUAAUUUAGUUUUUUGUUUAAGUUUAACGAUGGGACACAUGACGAACAAAUCGCUGGCUAAGAUCAAUUUUUUCUCAUGUAAUCAUGUGAGCAUUUUUGCCAACAAAAAUUAACGUCUAUCAAAAUGUGAAUGGCAAAGGUCAUGCUGUAAGUUUAUUUUUGACACAAACCUUGGCUUUUUUACAUUUUACUAGUGUGGUGAACUGAAGUAGCCACCAAGACCAAGCUGAUCAUAGCGGUUAAUUAGUAAUUUUGAGAUAAAACCAAAACCUAGAUUUUUCCGCAGGUUGUUACUUAUUAACCGUCACAAACCAAACACUCCCCCAUUUUUCUCAACCCACAAACCCCUCUCUCUUCUCUCUCCAUCUCCCUCCCCGCAAGUCAUGCUAUACUAAUGCAGUUGCAAGUUAAUGAACCAAGUCCUAUUUAGGUCAUGCUCAUGUCUUUCUUUAACUACUCUUCUCACUACUCUUCGACAGUUAUUCUUAUAUCAGGUAACUCCUCUCUCUCUCUCNNNNNNNNNNNNNNNNNNNNNNNNNNNNNNNNNNNNNNNNNNNNNNNNNNNNNNNNNNNNNNNNNNNNNNNNNNNNNNNNNNNNNNNNNNNNNNNNNNNNNNNNNNNNNNNNNNNNNNNNNNNNNNNNNNNNNNNNNNNNNNNNNNNNNNNNUCUCUCUCUCUCUCUCUCUCUCUCUCUCUCUCUCUCUCUCUCUCUCUCUCUCUCUCUCUCUCUCUCUCUCUCUCUCUCUUUCUCUCUAACAUGGAUUUCUAGCUUAGUUUGUUACUUGCUCUUCAAGAAACUUGUUACUUCUUACCGCUUAAGCUCACAAAAGCUUCAUUUCUAACUUCGUUGUUUCAGGUUUCAAGUAAAAGUAAAUAUAUACCAUACAAUGGUCUUGAACUGGGAAGCAGUACCUGAGUUUUUCGACUCAGACAUGACUUGUAUCCAGCAGAAUCUAGAAGCAGAGCUAGUAGGAGACUUCCUUCAAUGUGUUAAUGCAGACUAUUCCAAUCCCCACAACUUUCUUGACCCAUGGUAUGACACUUGCAGUCUUGUCAACUUCGAAUACCCUGGCUUUGAUCAUCUGCAUCCACCUUCUUCUUUCAAACCUGACAUGUUUCCAGUACAAGAUUUUGAACCCUACGCUCUCCCGAAACGCCAAAAAUGCUCGAAAGAUUACCAGUACCCGGAUCUUACACCCGGUUUCUCUAGUGCUUUUGUUCCGAACCCAUGUCCUCGGCCCGAGUACUUCCCCGGGGCUUUUACUGCUCCGGCGCUCGACUUUCAGCAUGCGGAGGUUGUUGAUGGUAGUACCAGAAAACAUAUUGUUGAAAAUGUGGGGAAGAAAGUGGAAGAAAGAAGUGUAUCGCCGCAAAGUAUCGCGGCAAGAGAAAGGAGGAGGAAGAUCACGGAGAAGACUCAAGAGCUAGGGAAGCUUGUUCCUGGAGGAAGCAAGAUGAACACAGCUGAGAUGCUCACUGCUGCUUACAGCUACGUCAAGUUCUUGCAGGCUCAGAUGGGGAUUCUCCAGUUCAUGGGGUCCUUUCAGGUACUUUACUGAUCAGUUAUUGAAGUUCACAAAUUCAAUUUCUUGUAAUAUUUCCACUAAAGUAGUCAUCGAUAACUUUCACCAAGAUUAUAGGGGAGAUCAAUUGUGCUAAUUAACUUGAUCAUGUGAUUCAUGUCCCUGCCCGGGACAACGAGGAUAAGUAUUAGUGCCAAUCAAAGGUUUCUAUAUUACUGAUGUACAUGAAUUAGACCCCAAAAUCCAAAUGGGAGAUUUGAACUUGGUACUUUGUUUAGACGUUAAUUUUUGAAGAACAAAUUCCUAAUUUGUGCACACGAAAUCUGAGUCAAACGUACUGAUUGUUGUUGCUAACAACGUGUAGGAGGUGAAGGCAGCCACGGCCACUAAGGUACUUCAUGUUGCUGCGUCUCCUACUAUACAAGAGAAGCUAUAUAUGGGGCAGAAGUGCUUGGUCCCAAAGGAGUUUGUGGAGGUAUUAGCAAACUAUUUUGAUGCUCAAUCGAAACUUUCACUCUCCCACAAACUCAUUCAGCUGCUUGUAAUUUUUAUCUUCAGGAUUCUGUUUCAUUAUCAUUUUUAUCGAUGAUAACGUUUUUUUUUUUUGUGUGAAAUACAUGCAGUUUAAUUUCUUUUUUACAUUCAGUCUUGAUAUUCUACAUCACUCGCCGACUGUUAGCUUGAAGAAUAUACUCAUCAGCCAUACAAAAUUUUGAAAACGUAGCAAAGAACAGAAGAUAAAGUAUUCAGCUUCUUUUUUUUGACUAAAAGUAUUUAGCUUUCAUGAAUAUUCAUCAAGGACAGUCGAGCAACUGAAAGGUACAAACUUCAGCAGGAUGAUGCUGUGAACUACUGAAAUCUUUACCAUCACAUCAGACGUUUUUUCUCUGAUUAUUUCUUCAUGAUCAACAGUACAACUUAAACGGUAACCUCUUCAUGCUGUUGCAUAGAUUUAUUAUUCGCAUAAAAUCAUUGUUACAGAUGACACAGAAGAGGACUAGAGCUGGACAUUUUAACAAUGAAAACACAUAAAUACUACUUUUAACAGGAUGUUUAACUGAGAUACAAGCUCUUUCGUCGUAAUCAGUGUACCAGACCAGGCAAUCAGAGAUUCAGAGCCUUAACUAGGCCUACCAAUUUCUGCUCAUUAUACCAACAAGCUUCGAGAAACACUAUCACGAAGAAGUGGAAGUGUCGACAGGUGUGUCGGGAUGUGCUCCCCACUCGGUCCAAGACCCAUCAUAGACUGCCACAUCAGACUUACCAAGUUUAUGAAGACCCUGGAAGAGAAACACAAAUUAAAUGGGGAAUACAAUAUUUCCGUGUUUCUAUAUUCUUACUUAAUAAAUGACAUAAUUACAAAUGAAAUUUCGUGAGAUCUAGCAUCAUAGUCGUAUUUACUAUCUCGUCACUAUCACCUUGCACUAACAUUCAAACAGAUGUAUAUCUGUCUAUAAUUAUAUGAGUAUAUUUCUGAGAGAUAUUUACCAAUGCGAGAAUGCAAGCAGUUACACCCGUGCCACACGAAGUAACAAUAGGGCUAUCCAAUGUGAUGCCUGCAAACACGUCAAAUUUAUGUUGAAGAUGCCUUGUGAGUUGUAACCAAUUAAAAAUAGUAUACAAGUUCUGGACUGUAUGCGAAAACAAUGAGACAGCAACAGAAAAUCAGUUGCCCACCAGGGGGAGGGUGUUAGUGUUUUAGGAUUCAGAAUGAUAAAAGCAUCCCGCAAUUUGAAAUGAUGUUUGAAAUUUUUUUCAUUAAAAAUGAUGUUUAAGUGUAAGUGUGUAACAUGUUCUGGACUGGAAGCGAACGUUCAGAACCAAAUGCAAAGAAAUUCCCAUUGUAAUGAAAAGAAAACCCAUUCACUACUAAGCACCAUGAACACAAUCGCUCCUAGAAUGAAGUAGAUAAAACAUCAAAGAGUUGGAUGGAUAAACUUCAACCACAAUUACAAGGACACAAGAGUUCUUACCUGCUUCAUCAAAUUUCUUUUUCAACUGGUCUGCUGGUAAGACUGUCCCUGAAGCAUCCAACAACUGUAUAGAAACAACACGAGUUAACCCCUAAUGGUGCAUAGCAUUUAUACAGACGUCACAUUUUUUGUUGCCAUUUCAUAAAGAUCAAGAACUAGACUUUUAGUAAAAAGCAGAUGGAAAAUUGGGCAUCACAUACAAAGAAUGAUUUCAAACAAAAUGAAGCAUUAGACAACCCCCCUUACCAUGAAGAAUGGUUAUAUAACUGAUACCUAUACUUGACUCAAAUUUCGAAAAGUCAGUUUAUCAUAUGAUAUCACAUGACCAGGAUCAAGCUCUGGAAAGACCUCACAGUUGACUACUAGAAAUCAAAAUUUUCAGGAAAUGUUCUCAUUCCUAAGAAAAUGCUCAGCUUUAACAAAAUAUAAGAAAUAAAUAAGGAACCGCGUUUUGAAAUUGUUUUUUUUUUUUUUCGUAAAUACUCGGAUAUGAAGCUUAAGAAUAAAAUCUAGUUAAAAUGCAAAACGUGCAAAACAACCCCCCAUGGCCCCAACUAAUGUUUUUCCUACUACUCAAAAAAAAAAAAACUGAUGUUUUCCUUAAGGUUAAUGGACAGAGGAUCCAAGACAACCAUUAGUAAAACCAUUAACUUCCUGCAUCAAUAUUAUCCUCAAACACUCACUGAAAUACUACAAAGCUUAGGGACGCAUCAUUUGGUUUCAUUAGAGGAGACUAAAGUCACUAAACACAACCAUAAGAUUGUUUUACCUGGGGAAAAGGAAUGCACUUGCUUCCAGGUACAUGACCACUUCUUAUACCUUUCCGAGGUUCCAAAGCAGUUCCAUCGAACCUACAAGAACAAACCUCCACCGAAUUCAUAUUUCUUAACACGAAAAUCAGACUUUCUGGAUAUACAGUCUCUAGUAACAGAUUUACAGCUAAACGAAUUCUCUCCGGUUACACAUACAGUUAUAACACCUCACUUGAGAUUUGAUAAUUCCAGACCAAUUCUCUGAUGCGUGAACAAGUCCACGCAUGUAUAAGUGCAACUCUUGAUUCAUGAUUCACACUUUAUGGAGAAAAUCAAUACUCAAAACUACUCAAGCUUCAAAGGUAUUAACCACAAACAGUUGUAUGUUGAAGACUGACUCAACAAAUUGAUCCCAAAAAGAAUGUGUACAUGCAAUUGAUUAGUAAAAAGAAUACCUGGCCUUUGAACGUGCAUCUAUAUGUUGGUGAGUUCUUUCCUCAAUAUUCUUUCUAACCUGGAAAAAUUAUUAAAAAAAUAUAAAGCAGGGAUUUAGACAAAAAAUUACAAAACACAAGUUGUAGAACAAGGAGUAACUUUAAGGGGCUGGUUACCACUGACAAGCUACCCCAGAGUCCCAGACUUUAGAUAACGGAGCAGCUAGUCAAUGAAAUUUUAAUGGAUUCAACAACUGUAGCAGUCUUUAUCAUUCCAUAAGAUAUUAUACUCUAUGUCACGUGGAAAAUCCUACAAGCAACUUUGUGAUUUUAACAAACUUUUGGCAUCCUGCAGUUUUUCCAAUACCGUCAUAUUCACUUUUGCAAAAUACCGGAACCUUGUUUUUGUUUUUGAAAUAAUAAACAACAAGUACCAUAAAAGUAGCAUGGACUGAUACAAGGGUGGAUGUGGGACAUGCAGCGUCAAGAGAGAACAAACCUGCUCAAGAUUCCAUACAAGAUGUGGCUGAAACUUAGUCUGAAAUGUGGUUGGACCAACCUGCAGAACAAAAUUGCAUGUCUGAGAUCAGCAAACAUGACUUUAUAAGUCUGAAUUUAAAAGUAAUGCAAGUUAAAUAGCAAAACAAAGAACAGGUAGACUCAAUUUAGUCGAGAUAAGUAUCUCAUAUGUUUCUGUCAAAAAAAAUGUUAAAAAAUUCAAAAGAAGCAAUGGACUGGCCCCCGAAACCCUAAAAGGACAAAAUAAAGUUUUCAACUCUGACCAAUCAACAUUCCAGACAGUAGCAUUAAACAAUCAGAAUUGCACAAAGCUACGAAUUUCUACAUUUCAAGAGACCAUGUUGAUGCUGGAAGAUACAACAUACAUGGCAUUAUUACAAAAUAAAGAAAAGAAAGCUACCCAAGCAUUUCCAAAAGUAAUUCAGAGACAACAAGAACAUUUAGACAAAUAGUAGGCUGAACUAUGACACCCUGGCAGGUGUACUUGAAAGACAACGUCAAAAGUUAGGUGUCCUGAUGUGAACUUACUGGCUGUCCCUUGUAUACUUUCUCUAUUGCCUCACUGGCAGCACUAGCUUUCAAAAUCGCAUCACCAGAAGCACUAGAUUCAACGUCAUAUCCAGAUGCACGCCACCUUGGCAAGCCGCCAUCUAAAACCCAGACUCUGUCAUGGCCAAACACUCGGAACAUCCUUUCAUAUUACAAUGAAUUGAAGCAUUAGUUGAUGACACAUUGUUAAACGUGGGAAACAAAUUGUUUUAGUAGCAUUUCAGAUGAGUUACAUUACUUACCACCACACACGAGCUGCACUAAAGAGCCCUUUCCCAUCAUAUACAACUAGAUCGUCUUUGUUCUCGAUGCCAAGAGCAGAAACAGCAGCAGCAAAGGCUUCCUCAGAUGGUAACAUAUGUGGUAACUGAAAAAGAACAUCAAUUCUAGAUCAUGAAGAGAUAGCAAAAGGAGACUGCAAGAUAUAUAUAGCAAAGUAACAUAUGCCUGCAGAUGAUGGCACACAUAGACCUAGGACUUCCUAAGUCAAGAAUUAUUUACCAGAUUAACAUUAAUCAGACUCAAAUUUGUAAUGGAGAUCUAAAAAAGACUAUUAUUACAUGAAAUGUAUAAUUUACUGAUAACAAGAUUAGGAUUACAUAGUUCAUAAAUACACUUUACUGGAAAAUAUAAGAAUAUUGUAACCAUCGGAGGUUCUAAAGUUUUCUGGAAAUUAGGAUGAAUGUAGCAUAAUAGAGUAACCUCUUAAUCAUCUAAUCGACAAGAGGAACCUUGGGUUACUAAUUGUAUACAUUCACAAGUGACCCAAUAAACAAAUAUGAAAUCGAACAUGUCAGAUGGAAUAAUGACAAAAAGAGAAACCAUCUCACCUUUGUUAUGCGAUCUGAUAUUCCAUCUACGUCAAAGAAAAGGGCACCAGGAAUAUGAGCAACCUAUUAUGAGAAAGAAUUAGGGUCUACUCAUUAUAAAAUGAAAAAAUAAGAAGAAACUAAGGAGUAUUACUAAUAACUUAAUAAGUAACAAUAACAGCAUUUGCGACGAAUAAGGAAAACGGAAAUUUAAAAAUAUCACUAGGGAAAACAAAAGGUGAAGUGGACACCUGAUAUUCUUGAAUUGGAUUCCUUUGCUCAUCAGGCAUGUACCAAGAUGCAUCCACAACCUAAAUCAGACAAUUAACUAAUGAUUACCAACAUUUAAACGAGAUCGAGAAAAAACUAAACAAACUAUAGAAGAUGUAGUAACACUGAGCACCGGGCAUUAAAUGCUAAUAUCUACAAAUAUUUCCAGGCUGCACUGGAGAGGGAAAAAUGGAGGUUGAUGAAAGGGAGAAGUACUGGCAAACCAACGCAGGUUACCUUAAGGUCAGGCUCCUUGAGAUUAGCAUGGAGCCAGUCAACAGAAACAACUGGCUCAUUUGUAGAUGCCGACUGUGUUGAGAAAUCUGCUUUUACCCCAGCUACUGUCGAAGCCAUAACACGAGGUACUAAACCAGAUAUUCGAUAUUUUGUAAAGGUAGAGUCAGCUCGCAAGAGAUCAGAUCCUUUCUGCAUGGGCGGAAAGGAAAAAACACAGAAACAGUUGAUUAGCUUUUGCCACAAAAUAAGGUAUACCCAAUGAAAGGCUUGAACUCACUAAGCUCAUUAUUAAGUUGAUUACUUCACCAAAAAGGGUAUCAAAUGCAUAAUCAGAUAGGGGUAAACAAAGGGUCCAAAAUUAAAACUUAACCUCUUUAAGUUUGGAGGAUGCCUUUAAAAAAAAAGGUGUGGGGGAUGCCUUUCCACACAAAAAAAAAGUGUGGAGGAUGAGCAAUCCAGGAUAAGUAGUGAUUAUCACAACUCCAAAUUUUUAAAUGCAACCAUUGAGCACAAGAAAUACAGGAUGGUCGACGAUAAUCAAGUAAACAAGACAGAGACAACCACACAACCAAUCUCCUAUCAUUAUAUGAUUCUCAAAUACACAGCAUAGAACUAUGUGGUUGCAUAGUUAAGCUACUUUAAAUCACAACAAUAACCCCACAAGAAUCUAGGAUGCAAACAAGAAAGUAUGUUUAGGGGUCAGUGAACAUAGUCAGGAACUGAGUACAUGUACAGAACAAUCACACUAAACACCUACACAAUAGUACACUACAUGCUACAAUUCACUAACUGAUUAAAACAAUGAGAACCCAUGUUAGUGAACCACUACAAAACGCUCCAAACCAAACACUUUGCAUCUCAAAUUCACUGAUACUAAAACCCAGAUAAGAACACUGAUCAAACCAGCAAAAGAUCAAAUCUUUACACAGAUGGUAUCACAACAUCAUCAAAAGCAACAAACUGUACAAACAGAAUUGAAGAUUAAGCAAACCCAAUAAAAGAUUAAUCAGAAAAAGAGAGAGAUUUACAUUGAGCAGGGAAGUGAGGAUUUGGGGCUUUUGAGAUAGGGGGCGUGCAGAAGAGUGAAAAAGGCGAUGACCCAAGAGAGUCCGUGCAAAAAGAGCUGAAGCCAUUCACUCAGAAGACCAUAGAAUUUAAGGGUUUUGGCUUUUCAGGAUCAGAGUGAGAGUGAAAAAGCCAAGAGGGAUUAUCCUGCGUCGACUUUCUGUCGUGUUGGGUUUUGGAGUUUAGUUGGGGUUUUAUCUCCAGCUUACGAGAUGGAGACAAAACCUUACUUUAGUUUUACCUCGGAAAUUUUAACGCUCUGUUUGGACGAGAUUACCUUUGAAUCAACAGUUAUUUUUAUUUUUAUCUGAGUGAGGUAGAAAACCAUUUCCCAUACUGCCAUAUCCAAUCUUGCUAAACUAAUAAUGCGUGCGCAGUUACUCUUACACCUCGUUUGUUUCACAGAAAAUAAGCAUCAGAAAAUAAAUAAAUAAAUUGUUUGUUUAUGUGUUUAGGGAAAGAGAAGGAAACGAAACAUUUUCCUAAUUGAAAGAAAAAUAUGGGGGAAAGUGGUUUCAUCCAAAACUCAAAUGGACCACUUUCUUUCUCUACAUUUAUUACUCACAACAACAAUAUUUUCUUAAUUAUCAACUUUUUAAUAACUUUUUCGAUGAUUUUUCUUGUGUUACCAAACAUCGGAAUGAAAAGUUCUUAUAAAUUUUCAUUCUCGUUCACUUUCUCAUGGGAAAGAGGAAUCGAAUGAAUUACUUUCCUUUCUGUGAACCAAACGAGACCACUUUAGAUUUCUUAAAAUCUCCUGAUCACCAUUUGUGUUCCAUGCUAGACCAACCUAUACCUUACCACAUCAUGUGGUUAAUUAAAGAUUGGACGAUAUUAGUUCCAGGUUAAUUUGGAGAAUCAAUCGCCCAUCAAAAAGGCCAACACCCCUUUUUAUUAUGAUUAUGUAAGAAGAUAACUACUACAAGGUAGUCUAGUAGCUCUUGUCUAAUUGGAUGUGCUUCUCCCCAACCUAGAUGUGAACCAUGAAAAAGAUUGUAAUGUUCUGUCGGCUAAUUGGGCACCCAGUAAAUUUGUCUUUAGAUUUAGGAAGUGUUGGGAUACCGCAAUUUAUUAUUAUUUUUUUUUCUUCUUUUAAGUUUAUGUAAGAAGAUGGUCGAUUAUAUAUACCUGGGUCUCCAAGUUUCUAGCAGAGUACACAAGAGCAAUGGGAAGCGCAAUUUAAGACAUUAGACAUAACCGGAAGGUUCACAACCACGAUGAUGAAGAUCAUUAGAUCAAAAUCAAGACAGUCUAUUCUAUUCUACCGACAAACAAGAUAAACUCACAAUAGUUUCACAAAGUCAUCCUCGAUCUCAUAAUUGGAAAAGAAAAUGUAGUCAACUUUUAGCAUAUGAACAUGAAUUACAUGAUCAGAAUGCAUGUAAGGUAGAGUUGAUCAGAAAAGAAAUUACAAAUUGAUACACAUAUGCCCAUUGCGGCACCCCUUAAUAUAUCACAUAAUGCUACACAAAGUUGCAACAUUCACUGCCGUAUCCAAUGCUUUCAUCGUUUGGCGCAUUCUGGUCUGCAAAACAUAUAUAUAUAUAUGGAUGGAAUAAGAACUUCAUCAUAUAUCCACAUACACAUAAUUUUCAUUUUUUUAACAAAAUGUUUGAAGGAAGUUGGAUUAAUAAUGAAGAAGAAGAAGAUUUAAGAAGUUAGGAAAAUAACAUACCCGUCCUGGUCCACCUCCAGGUGAAUCUAUGGCCUGCAUAUCAUGCACUUUGUCAAUAUUACUGAAGUUGUGCAAAGUAGCCUUAACAAGUUUUUACAAUUUACUCAAUAAAAUACAGAAACAGAAACAAACAUAACCAUAUAAAUGCAAUUUCAUAGCUCCAAAAUCAUUUAGACACAAAUAUUGUCCAAGUUCUCUUUCUAUUUUAGGUUUUGACUUGUCUAAAAUGAUUGUCAUUGGUCGUAACUCGUUACUUAAUUGCCUAAAAUAUCACCGGGAAAAUAUAAGACAGGUUUGGACCAAAAUGAUCGAUGACUACAGCAAAUGAUGAAUUAGAACCAUACCAGAUUUGAAGAACCAUAUCCUCCUCUCUUUGAUCUGAGCAACAUAUGGUUAUCCAUAAAAUAAGCGUGAUGGUGAUCACUCUGCCGGUUAUACCUUUGCCUUUCCGGCUUGGACUCGUAGCAUCCGGGACAAAGAUCGUAAGUGUUUGAGUUCACGUUGUCAAAGCACUCAACACAAGUGAAGUAGAGCCCCGUGAGACAAAUCCCACAAACGCUGCACCAGAAGCUCCUGGUCUUGAUGAUGUAGUAAAAAGUUAGAACUUCCAUGAAAUCCAGCGCGCCGUCGUGGUUGCGGUCGAGAUCGUUGAAGAAGCUGGGGCUGAUCCAUUGGUUGCCGCUUUGGUAGAGAAAUGCGGAGAACUCGUUCCAGUCGACUUGGCCGUCGCAGUUUGUGUCCAUGGAUUGGAAGAAGCACCAAGCUAGUUGCUCAAUCUCGGGUGAUCCGUUGUUGUAAUAUGCAGAUGCUGCCUGACGCAGCUCGUCCAUUUCAGAGUUUACCUUGAAGCUGUAGCUAGAGCUUUCUUGGCAUGGAUCGAUAUAUAGAAUAUUGCAGUGUGUGUAUAAACUAUAAGGAAGUUGUUAAAUUGCUACAUGAAAUACAUAUAUAUAUAUAUAUAUAUAUAUAUAUAUAUAUAUUUUUGUUGCUACUUAUAAUAUAAAGGUCUUAUAUAGUUUUGCUGCGUUGACAUUAAUUACAUGUGCAAUCUCUUCAUUCUCAUAAAUCUAGGUCAAGGCUAGGGUGUAUAUAUACAUUUUUUGUGUAAGAAGAGGGUUUGGAAAUUUAGAAUAAUAUACGUAAUAACGAACUACGUUAAACACGAAAUCACGUAUACAUUUUCUUUUUAGUAUCUUAAACUAUGUAUAUUUUUUUUAAUAUGACUUAUAUCGUGUCUAUAAUGAUCAAUAACACUUUCAUGUAUCAUCCUAAGUCCCAUUAGCAAGCAAAUACUGGAUUUCAUAUUUGAUUUCACUUUCAAACGAUAAUUACAGAAGCGAUAGAAGUCAUAAAACUCUUCAGUUUAUUAUUGCUUAUUUCAUAUAUAGUUGGUGAUCAUUUUUUUUGUAUCAAUUAUUAAGCACAACUAGUUAGUACUUAGUAUUGCCUCGUUGAUUUGGUCAUUUUUUCAAUUCCCUGGAAAUUGCAUUAUGUUCACGUCAACUGUAAUGUACCAAACAAAAUACAAAAAUAUAAUGUACACUUGCUUGAAUACAUUCCUCAGACCACUCUGGCAACCAAACAGGGAUGCUAAGAGAGUUCAUGAAAUAUAUUUGACCGAGAAAAUGGGAAUCAUUCUUAACUGACCAACAAAAUAAUUAAGGGUAGUGCUCCUAACUCAAACAGAUAUCGAUUCUAGCUAUGAGAAUUUCUGAAGGUUGAAUAUGGGGAGAGUGUAGUUUGCUCGGAUUCACUGGACCAUCAUGAAGACGAUCUAUAUAUAUAUGCUAGCAAUUUAGUUUUGUGGUUGAUCUAAGUGUAGCAGAAUGGUCAUCUUUUUCAAAACCAUUCGACAUCAGUUUACUAUAGACUAAUUUAAACAGUUCCAUAUCCAUUGUUUUGUGUUUACUAUUAUUUCUAGUAAGGCAUAGAAUAAACCUCUUACAAACAUAUUAAAAGAUACAAAUAUAUAUAAAAUCAAGAAAUUAAGUCAAUAGCUACAUGCCUCCAACCUAACACGGAUAGUGGGAAUUCUUAAUCAUUACCAAUUAACUUGGCCUGAGUUGAACCCUAGCUAAUCCCUAGACAGAGCACCAGGAGCAUAAAUUAACCCCAGGCCCCCAGGGGCAACAGUGCUAGCUCUGAUUUGUAUUUGAUCCUUGAAAUACCCAUUGUAAUUUUACAGAAGCGAGAUAAAAGAGGAAGAGCCUUCAUCUUUUAGCUUAAACAAACAUAUAUUACAAACAUAUUUACCUAAAGGAUCAUGAUCUUCAUCUUUAUUCAAUUUUUCUAGUCUAACUUCUUUAUUCCCCUCUCUUCCUCUUCAACUUCUUCUAGCUAGCUUUUUAGUUAAACCUAGCGCAUCUGGUGAUGCAACUGCAACCUCGACGAUAUGUGUUAGCCUGCUGGUUGGCGGGUUGACCGCAGUUGUAGUACGUCACACCACUGCGGCGGCAUGGAAUGCCGUUCCUGUUGAGGGAACCGUCGCUGAUGUACUUGGGUCGUCCGGCCAGUGUGCGGCGGCUUGAAUCGGAGUCGAGCAUCAUCCCAUUGUCCUCUCCAAUGACGUCGCCCAAGCUGGCAUGGACGAGGGAUGAGUCGUGAUUGUAGCGGGCGAGGAGGCCCCAGCCAGCAUCAUAGAGCUUGGUGGCCUCGACCGCUAUGGCCACGGCCAAGAGGAGCGUGACCAGGCAGAGCUUAUUAUAUAUACGUCCGGGUGCAAAAGGGUACCGGUUCACAAACACAAAAGCGUUUGUGAAUUAACAGAUGACGGCCGUUUCUAGCUAACUUCUUCACCGCCCUUCCUGUUUGGGGAGGGAAAUAUUAUUCUGAAAAGAGGGGGCGGGGGGAGGGCUCUUAAAAAGAUCAAGCGCAACAUCGGGUGCCCGUUUAAGACUUGGAUGCUACAUUUUGCUACGUAUUGUGUUUCUAACUAUUAAGUCCUUCAUUAGAAUGGGUUGUUGUAACGUUAUGGUAGCUAGCAACAAUGCAUGUGUCACUUUAUUUGCCCACAUACAUGUCCUUGAAUGGAACUUAUUCUAUGCAUGGGUAGUGUACGUAGUGACUUUAACACCCAUGAAGUGAUCACAGCCUCUUGUUUCGAGUUUCGAAUUGUAAAUGAUGAUAUAGACAAAAACUUGAAGAUAUAUAUUAUAUAGAGAAAUUUUAUUCUAGCUAAUUUUUAGAUGCACAUCUCAUAUUUUUGUAAUUUUUUUUUAUUUCUAUAUUGCCCUUAGUUCAGACAAUAUACUAAUAUAAUCAUAACCUCCAGCAGUUCUAGAUCUCUCCUCAAUCGAUAUGGAUGGCCAUGUUCCACUGGAUUGUAAAUACCUGAGGUUAAUUGUUGGGGGGAGAGAGAGUUGCAGUAAGUUAAGAGGAUUUGAUCGAUUAGCUCCUUAGUAUAUGAAUUAUGAUAUGUAAUUCAAAACUUCAUAAAUAAUUUCUUUUAUAUCCACCAGACCUGGGUUUACAAAACUGAAGUUCAUCUACAAGACUUGACACUUGAAGUUUAAUUAUGGUCGACAUGAAUGUUAAGCUAUUCGAUAUGAAACCAAAAACUUGUACGUGUUGAUCAAUUGAAAUUUUGAAAGGAUGCAGGUGAGGGAUUCCCUAUCUAUUAUAAUUUUUCGCUUUCUAGAGAGUCAAAAGAGUAGAGAGAGGGUAAAAGAAGAAAGGAAGAAGAAAUAUCAGGAAAAAAAAUGACAAAAAAAGUUAGAGAAGUGUCUAUUAAGAAUAUAGUUAGGAAUAUGUUAAUAAAAUUUCUCUUAUAUGAAAAUUUUGUAUUUAUUUAUCGAAAAACGUUAAAAAGAAAAAACACAUAUAAUAUAUAUGCAGCAGAAGGGAGAGGUGAUUGACACAAUUGACUUUCCUUAAUUAUUAUCACCACCACUACUACAACUUACUGAUGUCCAUGACACAAAUCUGGAAGAAACUUUUCUUAUUCUUGUUCGAGUUUCUUUCAAUUAAUUGCUGCGAGCGCAACGGGUGGCGACGCUGCAACCACGGCGGUAAACAUUGGCUGCCUGUGAGUUCUGUCUGUUGCAGUUGUAGUAGGCGGCUCCGGGCUGGCCACACGGUACAUGGUUUCUCUUAAGGGCACCGUAGCUGAUAAAACGGGGCCUUCCAGCAAGUUGACGCCGGCCGACCUCGGAGUCCAGUAACAUCUCAUUGUCUUCUCCGAUCAAGUCACCCACGUCGUCGUGGUUGUGUCUGAGACCCCAGGCGGCGUCGUGGAUCGGUGAAGACUCUACUGCAGCCACCAUGGCUAAGGCCAAGAGGAGCACAACAAGGCAGGACUUGAAAUCCAUUUCCAGAUUUUUGGGGGGACAAACAGAAGUUUCUGAAUUUAAAGUGGAUUCCGCCAAUUGGUCUCUGCCCUUCCUUGAAGUUUGAGGGAGAGGGAACUGAGAUGAGACAACUGAGAUAUAUAAAGAAAAUAAGGUGACGGGUUAGGAAGAUCUUUGGACAAAUAAAGGACAUAUCUGAUUUUGGUGGCUGUGCUUUUCUUUGUGAUCUAAUUUUGCCCGUUUCUUUCUCCUUAAUUUUCUUUCUGUGUACGUUUUAUAUAGUAUGUCCCAUGCAAAUUUAGUUUAUUUGAUCUGUUAAUCAAACUCAUUACAAAUUUAUAAAUCAUACAAAUUAACAAAUAAUUACUCAUAUAACUAUACACGUUUAUAAACUAGAAUUUUUUUAUGCUAGUAACAUUGCACAUGUGGGUUUAUGCUAGUAACAUUGCACGAGUAGCUAGGGUUUCGUAUUAUCAAAGUAGGGUAUGGGUGAAUUUAAUUGAUCCAUACUGUUUUCUUGCCCGGUUUAGUUAGUCUAGCCUCUUAUCAAGAAAUAUUUCUCUUGAUAUAUACGUUUGAAGAUUUUCCUGUUUCGACCUACAUCUUGUAUAGAUUUAUUAUUUAGAUAAUGUCGAUUUAGUACAAUUUUUGGCACCUCACUUUCCAGUUUCCAUUGUAACAAUACUAAAGAGAAAAUUAGAUAAAAACCCAAAAUACUAGACCUCUUUUAAGAUAAACCCAUACAUAUUUUUAUUUCAUUUUACACCCACUCCACAUAAGCAAACUUACUAUAUAGAGCAUAUGUCUAUAAUUAAUAGUUUUUUCAUUUUUUUAGUUUCUCUGAUUUGCCCUUCAGACGAUAUAAAACUAAAUUUGGUAUCUUUCUCAAUUUUAGAAUCAAUUUGAAACUCAAAUAUUGAGCUAAAAUUUAGUUGGAUUUAACUUUAUCAUAAUCAAUUACAUUCUUUAAUUUCUUACCUUGUUAUUACUAACUUGAGUGUAUAUAUAUGUUAUAUAUAGAAGUAUGUCAUUUGUAAUAGAAUGAUUCUUUUCAUUAUUAAGCUCACAUUUGGUGUCUCUCUACAUAGUCGAAAAAUAUCUAAUUGUAAGGUACACGGUCUUGUUUUUUGAUUAAUUUUCUUCUUUUUAUGUAUAUUAUUAUAUUAUUUCUCAUCCUGAUCGAGAGAACAUUUACAUUUCUAAUAUACCUAUUAAGUAGGACAUGAUAUGAUAAUAUACCUAAAAAAAAGAAACCCAAAAUUGGGUUUAGGGUAUAGGGUUAAGGUAAUAGGGUUUAGGGUAUAGGGUUAAGGUAAUAGAGUUUAGGGUAUAGGGUUAGGGUAUAGGUUUAGAGUAUAGGGUAUAGGGUUUAGGGUAUAGGGUAUAGGGUUUAGGGUUUAGGGUUUAGGGUAUAGGGUUUAGGGUUUAAGGCUUAGGGCUUACGGUAACACUAUAAAAUUUCUUCAUUUUACUCUAAUAAUCAGAUAUCUUAUUUAUAUUAUAUUUUACCUUAUGUAUAUCAUAAAAUGUAUUCAUUUCACAUAAAUUUUUUCAUAAAAAUAAAGAAAAUCGCAUGAUUCUUGCAAAUUGAUUGAAAAAUGUUAGUGUUAAAAGAAAAACUCAUAAUCAAGGUAUUUAAGAAAACAUCAAUUAAGUUUAUUUAUUAUGUUUAUAUGUUAUAGUUGAAUGGUGGCAGUUGUGUAAAAUUUAGAAAAAAUAAGACAUGAUAUGUAUCAUAAUUGAUACAUUUUAGAUGUCUAUCAAAAAGAAUAUUAUAUGUGUUUUAUGUAAAAUUACUCUUCAAAAUUGGGUGUAUAUGAAAAUCCCCCGGUAUUUGAAUUAAGUACAUGGAUCUUGGUUAUAUAUCACGUAUAAAUUAUGCCCUAUUAUCCUUUUAAAAGCAAUGAUAUAUAAAUAUUACUCAUAUAUACCAGCUUGAACACUUUCAUUGACAUAUAUACAUAAAAUUGUUUAGUUACUUGCCAAAAUUAAAGACAGAAUUGUUUUGAUGUCUAACCCACCCAAAAUGGAUUAAUCGUCGACCAAUGAAUCGGAGAUGCUUGAACCUCAAACUCAAGUGGGAAUACUUAAUCUUUAUCAACUUAAAUAUUAGAUGGAAACGUUCCCCAAUUACGAACCUAACCAUGUCUUUAAACUAUAAGUAAGCGGCAUCGAGCUAGCUGUGGCAACACUAAUUUGAAUCCUUGCAUAUCGAUGGUAAAUUUGUAGGACUACUAAUCGCGAUGCAUGGUGGCGUAGUAGCUAGCUAGGGUUUGUUGAUCAGGUACUGCUUGAAUGCUAAUUAAUAUUGUUCGAAUGAUGUGAUAAGGAGCUGCAAUUUUUAUUACUGAAUCGGUCACAAUAUCAGAUGAGAAAUGGAAAAUACACAGAAAAUAGCUAGGAACCACAGGCAUCUCGAAACACAACUUAAUUAUGAUAACGCCACUAGCACCGUGGCUCGAUUAAUUCAUUCACAUAAUGGUACACGAAGCCAUCAAAUUUGCAACUCCAACUGCGGUUUCUAAUGCACGAAAUGUUGAACGCAAUCUGUUCUGCAAGACAUAAUGAACGAAAACUGUUAACAUUUUCUUUAACAAAUUAAGAAGAGCGAGGUGCCUGGAUUAUAUAGAUGCAUAUAUCAUAUAUUAUAUGGGGCUGUCUAACUGUCUUCAUCUGUAACAAGUAAAUACACAAGAGAAGAAAAGGCUGUACGUGAACAAUAUUAUACCUACCCUUGCAGGUGUAGCUGGAGGCUGCUGUCGUGCUGGAACUAUUGCCUGUGUACAUACAAUAUAUGAUUUGGCAUGGUUUGAUAAAUUAAAUCACACAAGUUAAGCAUAAGAGACAUAUAUAGCUUAUUUAAUCAUGCCAGAAAUCCGAGCUAAAGAAUAAUACAUAUCCCCUAAAUAUAAUAUCUCUCAGUGACUUACAUAACAAGUAUUUAGUGUCUGUAAUAGCUUGACAUGUUCCUGAUUUACAAUCCAUAUAUACUUCACUGUUUUUAUAUUACAUGGGAAAUGACUGCGGAAUCAAUAAAUGUCCGAAGAAACAAAAGGUCCAAACAGUCUCCAACCUAAUCUUGCUGAUGAUUAACUUGAAUCAAUAAGUAAUUCAAAAUUUGGCCCCUGCUAUAUUGAAAUUAAACUGUGUAGGAAAUCUUAUUAGGAAUCAAUGGCUUCACGUAAUUACCAGACCCCAAUUUUGCUGAUUAACUCAAUCUCGUUUGUUUUAAGUUACUGUUACGUACACUUGCAAUCCUUUAAGUUUGUUAAGAUUUGAGUUUCCACAUUUACUUUAACAUUUAUACAUACAGUACCAUAAACAAAUUUACACAAAAAAAAGGCAGAAGCGUAUAUACCCUGCUUGCAGAUGUAGGUGGAGCUUGAUAUGAAGUUUGUCGACCUAUUGCCUGCAUAACCAUUUAAUUUCAUUGAUAAAAUUAUACAAUUAAGUAGCGGCAUAAGAAAUCAUUGAAUAUCGAUCUAUUUUGUUGUAUUUAUGUUCCUUGUUUCUCUUCCAGUCUAGUUCCUUGUUUCAUUUACGCUCAUUUUGUAACUAAAAAGUAAAAGAAAGACGUGAGUUAAAAUUUUGGCAACCUCUAAAUGAAUUGAAUUUCUAUAAAGCGCAGCGUGCGAUUACCUGACUCAGGUUAUGAUUACCAAGAGCCUGUCGUCUCUUUGCUAUAAGCAGCAUAUGAUUAUCCAAGAAGAGUGUAUGGCGGUGACGGAACUGCUUUUCAGCAUAGCAGUUGGAGCACAGAUCAAAGGUAUCGUUGGCUCUGUCGAAGCACUCGACACACGUGAAGUACAACCCUAAGAGGCGUUCUCCACAGCCAACACAAGAAAAGAACCUGGUCUUGAUGAUGUAGUACAGUGUGAGAACUUCCCUGAAGUCUAGGUAACCAUCACCGUCUUCAUCGAGCACGUUGAACAUGUCAGGGUCAAUGUCGUAGCCGCUUUGCUGGAGAAACGAGAUGAACUCCGACCAGCUGACUCCACCGUCACCGUUGGUGUCCAAGGAUUGGAAGAAAUCCAAGGCUAGUGUCUGGAGAUUCUGUGACCCAUUAUUGUAGUAUGCUAUAGCAGCCUGGUUUAAUUCCUCCAUGGAAUAAAUUUCAAGGCCUUGGGCUAGCUAAGAUGAGAAAAAUCGUAUAUAUAUAUAGAGGUUUUUGUUCUCAUGUUAAUUAGGUCGAAGGUGUUAUUAUUCUACUGACAAUAAAAUAUAUAGAAAAUUUCAUAAAAGUCUACUUUUUAACAUUUGUUCCUUCAUAAGUCCACCUUAAUCUUUUUACCCAUAUAAGUCCACUUUAAGGGUCAGAUUCGUCAUCUUUCUUUCAUUUCAUACCUAAAAUACCCUCCCAAUCACUCCCUACAAAAAAAAACGGCNNNNNNNNNNNNNNNNNNNNCUCUCUCUCUCUCUCUCUCUCUCUCUCUCUCUCUCUCUCUCUCUCUCUCUCUCUCUCUCUCUCUCUCUCUCUCUCUCUCUCUCUCUCUCUCUCUCCGUUGAUAUCUCUCUCUCUCCGGCGUGAGGGCCUCCGGAAAUUGACUAGAGCCCUAAAUCCCUCACUGGAAAUCUAAGCCUUAGGGCCUCCGCUGCCUUAUACAGCCUCCACGUCGUAUCCUUCAUCCUCGGCACAUCGUCGCCGCUAAUAGCAACGCCGCCGCCUCCGUGUCCUCGAUCUCAUCGAAGUCUGGAGCCGACCCGAAUGUCGAUGAGCCGUAAUAGAUCGAUCUCAGAUCUUCAAUUCUGAACAACGAGACCUCUACCUCGUCCGAUCCUCCGAUCAUCUCAUCGUCAUCGCCGACAGUACCUUCUCCGAUCGGCCUCGGCACGUCGACUGUCAUCGUCGUCUUCGUCUGCGCAACUUCCUGUAUGAGUUCAAGAUGGUGACAACGAAGGUGAUUCGUCGGUGAGGUGUCCGGCGGACUGACAAGAACACCGGCCGAUCCAAGGGCUAUGGUUUUGUGAGUAUUUUGAUUCGUUUCUAUUCUAGUUCAAUCUUGAUCACGCAUCACUGACUGCUAAUUUAGUUGUGGAGUUUGAUGAAUCAAUAGACGUAUGAGUUUUUGAAUGGAGUGUUUUGUGUUUCUGUUGAGGAUUUUGGUGACUUUCAACGAGCUAAAGGCUGCUGCCAUGGCAUGUGCUGAUCUGAUGGCCGCCAGAAGACUUUAAGUUGGCUUCAGGUGGUGGUAAUAGUUUUUGUAGAUGGUAGUAGUAGCUUUUGUGGCUGGUGGUAAUAUUUUUUGUGUUUGUCACCUCACAAUAGUAGCUUUUGUAGGCGGUGGUAGUAGCUUUUAUGGCUGGUGGUAGUAGUUUUUGUGUUCGUCAGAAACCUCACAGUAGUAGCUUUUGUAGGCGAUGGUAGUAGCUUUUGUAGCUUGUGGUAGUAGCUUUUGUGGUUGGUGGUAGCAGUUUGUGGUAGUAGCUUUUGUGUUCAUUGGAAACCUCACAGUAGUAGCUUUUGUAGGUGGUGGUAGUAGCUUUUGUAGCUGGUGGUAGUAGCUUUUGUGGUUGGUAGUAGUAAUUUUUGUCAUCGUUGGAGGCCGGUCGAAAACCUCACCGGAGGUCAGCCGGAAACCUCACCGGAGGUCGGUCGGAGACUUUUCCGAGAUGAGAGUGGUUGUUGACUUUUUAUACUAGUGGCAUUCUUGUAAAUACAAGGGAGAGAAUCUAAUUUUUUUUGUUGGAUGACAGUCUGUAAUUUUGUUCAACUUCUAUACCUAAUAUAAAACCCUAUUUAGGCUUACGUGGACUUAUGUGAAUAAAAAUGUUUGGGUGGACUUAUAUGAAAUAAAAUGUCUAAAAGUAGACUUCUAUGUAAUUGGCCAUAAAAUAUAACAAAUAAGAACAAUUAUCGAGGGAUAUAUCUAUUUAGUAUAUAUAUAUAUAUAUAUACGCCCCUUCAUUCAUAUUCUAUGUAUUUGACAUUGGUUUAGUCAUUCUCUCAGUAUACUUUCUAUAUUCGCAGGGGCGGAACUACGUUUUGUCAUAAAGUGGUCCAGACCCCCCCUCAUCAUCUAUCUCAACAUAAAUCACUAUAUAAACCUCACACUAUUGUAGUAAUUUAGUGUUAAUUCAUUCAUGAAAUCCCCCCUAAUCAAUGACAAUGACAACUAAGGAACAUAAAAAAAGAGAGAUUAACAGCCAAUUACACCUAAUUUAUUAAAGGAAAUACGAAAAUGUUGCUUAAAUUUACAAGAUUUUGCAAUUAAUUAUAUUGAUGUAUAGCUUAUUCAAUUGUUUUAUUUUAUAAAAUUUGAUAAAGUAUGUUUGGCUUGUUACAUUCAACAUUAUUAUUUUUUAUACUAUCAUGUUCUAUAUCUCGGCCCCCCUAAGGUUCUAAUCCUGGCUCCGCCUCUGUAUAUUCAAAGAAAAAUUCCCCUCAUAUCACUGAAAUUCAUAAGAUAUACAAGUCCAUCAUGAUACGUACCUGUAAAAAAAAGUCCAACAUGUUUCACUUGGAGAAGAAAAUUAUAAAUCAUACAGAUCGAACGAUCAAAGAUUGUUGCACUCUGAACAAAUAUAUUAGCCAAUAAAUCAUAGCAAACAAUUUAUAUUACCUUAUCCAAAUAAUAACAUGAUCCGAAGAAUUUUGAUUGAAUUAGUAUAUAUAGGAUUUCGAUCAGCUUGGAGACCUCAUAACAUUAGUAUAUAUGUACUCCUACUUUCAGUGUUUAAUGAAUUGACGUCCUAUUAUACAAAAAAAAAAAACAUUAGUAUAUAUAGGAUUUCACAUAUCUUCUCAGGUAAAAUUCAUAUAACCUCAAAAUUAACUUGAUGUUAAUAGGAAAUCGACUUUUACAGUGAUCUUUUUUGGCAUUUCAUCAAGUUAUUGACAUACAAUUUCCUAUUUCCUAUUGUGAUUUCUUAACUCAGAAUCCUAUUUUACUCAUAUUUGAGAACAACAAAAACAAGUUCUAUUUGGACAUUAUUAUGUAUCUAAUAAUGCUUCAAGUAGGUCAUGUUGGAUUAAUUAUAUUUCUGUUACUGCCGCGUUCAUUGACUACUUCUACUUGGAUAAUUAAUCGCAUGUUGUUUAGAUAGAGUUGAAGUUUAAUUUUCUAAAUUUUAUAGUAGUCCUGUUGCUUUCAAGUUUACAACCCUAACUCUCAAACUUCUGGCUAUGAAAAUGCUCAAAUCCUCUUUGACCAACCUAGUGGAAUUCUUAAUCAUCACCAACUUGGCGGGAAUUCGAUUCUUAAUCUCGUAAUUCUAUUUUUGUUUCUUGAAAACGAUUAGUCCGUUAAUUAAUUCUGAUCUAGUCAGAGUUGAUGAAUUCAAUUAAGCCAGUAGUUAGCUAGCUGUGGCAAAUAGUGGUACCCUUGCACAGUUGCACUAUUGCCAUCUUUUCUUAAUUUUCAUUCGCCUCAACUAAUUGAGGAGUCCGUAUACGGAGAGCUUAUUUUUGGUAACAUGUAGUAUUAUUCCGAUCCAUUGCAACUUUCUAAGCCCUACGAAAGAAUGAUUUAUAUAUUCAUGUAGACUUAUUCGAGAUCUCUCACUUAUGCAACUAGACUAAAUGAUUGUAUGAUUUUUUUUUUUCUUUCAAUACUGAUAGUGCAUAUGCAUCUGGUACAAGAGUUGAUCAAAUCAUCAAAAUUUGUAUCAUUUUAGUUUGAUUGUGUGUGGACCUUGUCAGGGACGGAAGCACAGCAAGGGCUGUAUGGGCAACAGCCCAACCGAAAAUUGGGCUAAAAAACCCAUAGGUGUGUGUGUAUAUAUAUAUAUAUAUAUCACAGCCUAGCCCAGCCCAAUGAAAAAAAAAAAAAUUAUAUUCUUAUGGCCUUAUUCCCGAUUCCUCUCAUCAUCAGACAUCAGUCCCUUACUUUCUCCUUUGCCGAAAACUUCUCUCGACUCUCAUCCUGGCAUCCUGCUCAAUUGCUCAUCUCCUCCAUCUGUCUCAUCUUUCUCACCUUCAUACAGAUAGCAAGCAGAUUUUUCUCCUAAAUCCCUCACUUCCUCCGGUCCCACUCGUUACUCCUCCCUACUCAUCUCCUCCAUCUGUCGAUCGCAAGCAAUCAAUUCCAAACUUGGAUUUAAUUGCAUCUCUGGCUUGCUUCUUAUUUGUUACCCUGAUUGAUAAAUGACGAAUUCGAUUUAGGAGUCAAGACCAAGACGGCAAGACAUCGUCAGUUCCUCUAACUUCAAUUCGUAUUUGGGUGAUUGGGAUUUAGGAGAAAGUGAAACUUCAAAGUCCAACUCUACAACUACAAGGUAUGAACGAUUCCAUUUGUUCUAUUGAAAUUGAAAGUAAUUAGUUUUGCACUUCUGUUUUUGAUCAAUGACGAAUUUGAUUUAGGAUUCAAGAAUCAAGACCUCAAUGUCUUCAAAGCUUUGGAUCUUUGGUUGAUUGCCUCUAUUACAGCCUUCCUAGUGAGCAGUACUUGUAAGUUUUCACUCAUUGGAUCCUCGUGAUAAUUUUGUUGCAUUCAGAUUAGAAGAUGUUUGCAAUCUUGCUUUGAUGUUUUAUCCUGAGGAUUUUACAUCAUCUGAUUUGUCAACUCUAGAUAGGAGUGUGGGUUUUUUGUAGCAGAUAUUCUAGCUGAUCCAAGAUUUGUCAACACAUCUUCUGUGUCUGAUUUGUCUCUGCGGUUAGUUGAAUCAAGAAAGUCUGCAUUCUUUCCUAUGAUUUAUAGGUUGAUUUGUCUUGUGUUGACUCUACCAGUUUCUACAGCCACAACAUAGAGAGUUUUUUCAUCUAUGAACAUCAUAAAAAGUAGACUUCGAAAUAAGAUGGAAGAUGAUUUUCUUGAUGAUUUGAUGGUUCUCUACAUUGAAAAAGAGUUUGCUGAUAGUGUUGAUAAUGAUUCUGUGAUUCAGGAGUUUGAAGUUAGUGGAACCCGGAGUAAAACCCGGCGGGUACGAUUUAGAUAGUUAUAGGUUAUUGUUUGUUAUUUUCUUACAAUCAUUUUCGUUGUAGUUUUCAAUUUAUGAGGUUUUGGUUUUAUGUCCCCCUCAUAUGUUUUUAAUAUAAAGGCGUGAGGAUGAGCCUCCCACUAGGUUCCAAACCUCAAAAAAUAUUUUGUAAGUGUGUUGUGUGAAAAUUAGCCCAACCCACUUUUGAUUCCUGGUUCCGUCCCUGGACCUUACGGUAUAAUCAGUAAUCUGUUUCUGAAGAAGAAACUGAAUAUUGAUGAGAACCAGGCAUCACUUUAAAGUGGAUAAUUAAGUUGUGACUUGUAUCGUCACGCGGCUCCAGUUAGCUAGAGAUUUCUUCUUCAUUACGAGAAAUAAUGGACAUAAUUAAUUUCAUUAUGAGAAGUUAUAUAUGUAUUACAAGCUUUGUAAGUUUGAGUAAUUAUUCUCUGUACCCGGAACACCAUGUGGCACUGCCAUGUGUUGUACCCGGCCAAUCAUAUAACUCAGAUUCAUGUGGGGACCAGCACGGGGUGGAAAAAAAAGGAAAAAUAAUUAAAUACACCAAUCGGAAAUAAGGACAAAACACGUGGACUAAUGAGAUUAAAAUGGAACAUAAAACAGGUGGUGUUCCGGGUACAAAUAAUAAUUUCCCUGUAAGUUUAUAUGAUGAUAAUAAAGAAUAUAAAACAGUGAAACCCAAAAGGACGUACGUACCACGGUACCUGCAGGCUAGGAUAUAUAAUGGCUAACCAGCUAAUUAGUACAUCAAGUUGGGAAUGGCAAUGCAAAAACAAAACAAUCAAACAUAGAAGGGACAGGCAACAGAAGUAGCAGAGAAAACCAAAUUAAGAUGAAAGUGGUCUGCAUGCAGCUUGUUGAUGCCUAGGUAUGUAGCUUCGGGGGAGGAGUUGCUCAACAGCUCUAUAUAUCAUAGCUACUAAACAGAUCGAAAUAUGGGAUCGGCAUUUCUCUAAAAUUAGCACAGAUUAUUGAGAUGCUAGCCAACACUACUCAUUUUUGUCUGUGCUGGAUCAUGGGGAUAAUGAGGGAUGAGGAAAAAGACGAAUAGUAAGUCCUUUGGUGGGAACAAGAACAGGGUCCAUAAUCAUCUUCUCGUCUGGAAAAACCAUCUCCCAUUUAAAUCUAGUGACAACAUUAUGCAUGAAAACCAAUAUCUUGAAUCGAGCAUAUUCCUUUCCUGGACACAUUCGAGGUCCUCCUCCAAAAGGAACAUAUGAAUAAGGAGCUGGUCCUUGUCUUUGGAACCUUGACGGGUCGAACUUCUCAGGUUCCGGGAAGUAUUCCGGAUUUUUAUGUGUCGCAUACGUAUUCCAGUGUAACUGUAUACAACAUAUAUACAUAUACAUCAUUCAUUUUACAUGACCGAUCAACACGUUACGCCUGAACAGAAAAAAUAUUGUAUAUAUAUGAGCUUGUUUGCGAUCGAUUGAUCAAAACAAAAUACAACCAAAUAAUUGUUACGUAUAUGCAUGCUAGAUGAACUAUAUUUUUGGGUAUCACAUCUAUCAUAUUGUAUGUGAUAUCUGAUGCAAUACAAGGUCAACCCGAGAAUUUAUUAAAUAAUUAAAUUCAGUUUACUCUAUUAUGGUUUAGAGGUGAAUUCAUGUUAGUCCAUAAACUUUCAAUUUCAUCAUAUUACUCCCUGAGCUCUUGUUUUUCUUUUAAUUUAGCUUCUCAACCCCUAAAAAGUUAUCACACGUCAUCAAAUUUCAACGUCCCAAUUGGACGGAGCAUGAUUAAUAGGAGAUGACAGACAUAAAAACAAGAGGUCGGGGGGGGGGGGGUAGUAAUUUUAUGAAAUUGAAAGUUUAGGGACUAACAUGAAUUCACCUCUAAACCACAGUGGGGUAAAUUAAAUUUAAUUUUUUUAUUAAAUGUCAUGGCUAACUGUGUUACAUGAGCUGUCACAUAAUUGUUUGAUGCAUGUAAUAACUAAAAAUGUGGUAACACCUAGUUAGCAUUACCAGUGAGACACUGAUUGAAGAGGAUUGUGGUACGUAUACGUACCUUCAUUCCUUUUGGAAUUAUGUAUCCUUCGUAAGAAAAAUCUGUAAUGGCCUCUCUGAAAGUUCCCAGAAUUGGUGGCAACAAUCUCAAGGCCUCACACGCCACGCUCCAUGAAUAUUUCAUCUUCUGCAACUCCUCCCAGUUCAGCAACUCCCCUUCGGCUUUUGAUUCUGCAAUCUCCAUUUGCUCUAUGCAACCAAUUCUCAAUUCAUCAGUAACUAAUUAUAUAACCACAUAUAUAACGUACACAAGCAGUUUUAAAUCAGAAGUAGUUUUACACUUAUUAGGUACGUACCUUUAAGGACGGCAUCAUAAACAUGAGGGAGCUUCGAUAGGAACAUGAUAAUGGACACCAAGGUGGUGCUUAUAUUGUCGUAAGCUCCGACGAUUAGACCAUACAAUUUGUUGGCAAUGUCUGAUUCCGUCAUCAGCUCUUUCCCAUCGCUAUAUGUCUCCACGAGCAACCUAGACAACAGAUCUUGAUCAUGAUAAUGAUGAUGAUGAUUACUAUUACUAGUGUCCGAAAGAUGAGGAUGGAGAUCUAUCCUCCUCUGCUUAACCAUCUCCUCGAUUUCCUUCUUGAUUUGCUUGGAUGCUCUAAUGGCUCGGUUGAAUUUUGUGCCUGGAAAAUUUAUCGGCAGCGAAAUGAAGCCCGAAGAUAUAUGCCGAAUCAGCUCCUCUAGUUUGGCAACUAGCUUUGGAUCCUCAAUGUUCAGGAAGAGUUUACAUGCUAAAGUGAAGGUGUACUUCUUUGCUAAUGGAUGGACUUUGAUGAUCACACUCUCAUCCUCUUCUUUUACAUAAUCAACCGAGGAUGAACAUGACCAAUACAUGUUCAGAUGUUGUUUGGUGACCUCGUCCAUGGCCCCUAUAUACCUGUGGAGAGCAUCAGGCUUGAGAAAUGGAGACAAGACUUUGCGCAACCGAAUCGACUCCUGCGUGGUGUCUGUUUUCUCAGAGUUGGCAAAGAUCUUCUCAAAGUUUGCAGGCCACCAAGACUUGACGAGUUUGUUCUCGUUCGAAAACAGAAACUUGUUCCCCGCAGCAGUGCACAGCACGGCCAUAGAUUCCUGUAGCAAAGAGGUCUUGAAAACCUUGCAUGGUACUGAUGACGAGUGCUUGUUUCUCCUGUCUGCUAUGAACUUUUCAGGAACACCCUGUUUGGCUGUGCUUAGAUACUCUAAGGUUUCGCCGAUGAUCGGCCAACCGGUGCUUCCUGGUGGUAGCUGAAACCCUAGUUGUUCACUUUUGUUAACCCUGGGGAUAAGAUUGAAGUUCAACAACCUAAAGAGGUAGUAUAGAGAAACAAAGACGAUCACAACAAGGAUUAACCACUCCAAUUCCAUGCCCUCCCCUCUUCUCGUCUUUGUUUCUUGUGGGCUGCAGACUUACACACGAAAGGAUCAACAACCUACUGAAGUACUGAACAAAAGCAAUAUAAAUCAUGAAACGUACUGUCACACAAGCUCAGUAAGAGUUACACUAGAUAUCGGUACCGAUAUCUAGUAGAGUUUUUACUCGGACAGAUUACAUCUCAUGGACACGUCAUGAUGAAAAUGUCAUUAAAAAAGGUGAUGUGAAAGUGAAUCCAUCGCAUGGACAACUAAGAUAUUCGUCAACACUGCUAGUGAUGAAGACAAAGUCUAUCCCUGUAAACAGAGAAUAAACAGAGCAUUAAAAUAAGAAAUAGCUACUGAAGUACUGAACAAAAGCAAUAUCAAUCAUGAAACGUACUGUCAUACAAGCCCAGUACAAGUUACACCAUAUAUCAGUAUCGAUAUCUAGUAGAGUUUUAACUUCAGGACAGAUUAAUUACACUAGAUAUCAAUAUCGAUAUCUAGUGGAUCGAGUUUUAAUUUUUUGCACACGUCAUUAACAAAAGUGAUGUGAAAGUGAAUCCAUCGCAUGAACAACUAAGAUAUUCGUUAACAAUAUUAGUGAUGAAGACAAAGUCUAUCCCUGUAAAUAGAAAAUAAACAAAGCAUUAAAAAUAAGAAAUAGCUACUGAAGUACUAAACAAAAGUGAGAUUUAUUUCAUUAGAGACCAAAACCUCUAGGGUUCUAGGGUUUUGAGAGCAAGGCGACGGCGGCUCUUUUGAUACGCUCCCAGCCACAAGGGACGUCCUUUGGCGUCAUGAUCUAAGAGGAGAGGGACUAAGGCUCUUGGUUCUCUCUUCUGUGGUACCUGUCUUCUACUGUGGUGGGUGAGGGACGUGGAUCUGAAGAUUGACAACGGCGCUACUUGGCUUUGGUUCUCGUCGGUGACCUUUCACAGACGACCAUCUUUUUAGACGAGCCGGUAUCAAGCUUUUGCUGAUCGUUGGAGGCUACUUAAGGCAGCGCGAGUUCUGAAGGCCGAUGUCGAGUUUUGUUGGUGAAGCGGCUGUGGUAGAAGUAGAGACUAUAGGAGGCGGUUUUCGGUCCUACUCUUCAAUUGCAGGGGUUCUCAACCAUUUCUAGAAGGGAUGGCGAUGUCAGGAAGGCCGCCGGAUUGAAUAGACGGAGGCAGCAAUUCCGGCAGCAUAGCCUGAUCCGGUACAAUUGGGACCGACAAUGGAAGAGUAAACGUGGGAUGGGCUGUUAGCUUCAGCCCAUUGCAUUUUCUUCCUCUUUUGGGCUCUGUUGGGUUGUGAUAUAGGUUUUAAUGUUGGGACUGCGUGACAAGACCCCUACAUAUCCAAAUUGAAGAGUCUACCCUCCUUUUUGUUGGAAAGGUACACCGAAAUGGUCUCUAGGCCUCAAUGCAUUAAGCUGGGGUACUUUGAUUUGGUGUUGGUUACAUGCGUUCUAGGUCUUAAUAAGUUCAUUUUUGAACAUUAGUCUUUUUUGUAGUAUUUAUAGUUUUCUUUUGAAUUAUAGACAUGCAUAUGUGCAUGGAUAUGAGCAUCGAUUUGUAAAUGGAGUUUGUUUCUCGGACUCUUAGCUUGACCUAGUACGGUCGUAUGAUUGAAAUUAAAGGAGCUCAACUCCAUUUUCCCUAAAAAAAAGUACUAAAUAAAAGCAAUAUCAAUCAUGAAACGUACUGUCACACAAACCCAGUAAAUGUUACACUCCGGGACAGAUUACACUAGAUACCGGUACUUUCAGCACACGUCAUUAACAAAAGUGAUGUGAAAUUGAAUACAUCGCAUGGACAACUAAUUAAGAUUUCAUUAACACUACUAGUGAUGAAGACAAAGUCUAUCCCCGUAAAUAGAAAAUAAACAAAGCAUUAAAAAUAAGAAAUAAUUACUGAAGUACUGAACAAAAGCAAUAUCAAUCGUGAAACGUAUAGUCACACAAGUCCAGUACGGGUUACACUAGAUAUCGGUACCGAUAUCUAGAAGAAUGUUAUCAUAGAACACUUGCACAUCCGCAUAUGAAUGAAUUGAUCUGUAAAAUAAUGUGGACUUGCUAGCUAGCUCAAGUUGACAUAUGGACAAGUGAAUUGUCAAACCUAGAAAAUCUCCUUUGCUUCGAGGAAAAAAUGCACGAUACUAUCAUGCAAUGGGUAACUAGUAAACGUAAAAACACCAUGCAUGCCUUCAAGACAACUAAGUAUGCAAUUUCGUUGAAAUGAAACACCUUAUAAACCAAUUUUUACAAAGAAAUAAACCGUGACGCAAAUAAAUAAAAUUUUUAAACUGUAAGUGUAAACUAACAAUUCAUCAAAAGAACACAGCCAUUACAAGUUACUACUAUCCGUUGAUAACUGGAUAUUCAGUCACUACAUUCGGGACAUGUUUUCUUGUGAAUAGGCAAUAGUCCUGAUGAGCAAGCACAAAAUUGUGAGUUACAGUAAUCUUUUCAUCAACACAGACCACAACAAAAGAGCCUUUUGAGAUCCAAUAUAAGGGAGACUUUGCUUCUGGUCAUGAUUCAUCAUAAUCAAUACCUCAAGACUAGAAGUAUGAUGCUCACGUCAACUAAUGAAUCCGACUCUGAUUUUAUGGAAUUUUUUGUGGAAGUAAAGCUAAUAAUAACAAGAACAACUACUGAAUCAAAUGUUAAGGAUGAACUUCCAGCAUCAUGCAAAAAAAAAACAGUAAAGAGCGUUUUAAAGAAAAACUUAGGCAUCUGAGACUCAUCUCAAGAUCCAUUAAUGAUUGGAAUCACUUGUACGAUAUAACAUACACACACACUACCCAGAAUUAGGGUCAUUACCUGAGUGACAUACGAAUUGAGAUUUAUGAAGCCAGAUUGCUUGCAAAACAACAUCAUAUAGGUUAAAACAUUCAUAGCUAGAAAAACCCGAUAAACUAAUUUCCACUUAAAUGGCAGUUCUCAAUUAUUAUUGUUAUUUGUCUAUAGUGUUCUGUCUACUGCAGUGUUCAUCUGCCAACUAAACCAAGGUACUGCACCCAAAUAGGUAACAGUAACAGUUAUGACCCUAAACAAUCAGCAACAACGACGCCCUUUAGCAAAAAGAUUGUUAUUACCAAAAAAAUUGUAAUUCUAAUAAGUGGAAAACCAAAUCACAUGUAACUUGAACAUUGAGUAGAUGUAACUGAUUGUAUGUAACUUGAACAUUGUGUAAUGUAACUCAUAAAGAAUAAACUAAACCCCAAAAUAAAAGUAAGGCUUACAAAGAAUGACAAUCCCGCUUAAACAAAAUGCACAUGUAAAUCAAUGAUAUAGACAAGUAAAAUAACAAAACUAGACAUCUUUGAGGUCAAAAGAAGAAAACCUGAUAACCAAAAUUUAGUAAGGAAAUCCUUCAUUCGAUUUCUUCUUUGAGGCUUCUGCCAAUCGCUUCACACCCUUUGCUUUUGUAUAGUACUCCAUCAAUUGAUCAGCAACAUCCUUCGGGUGACAAUUAAUGAAUGCCUUCACAAAUCUCUUCUCUGUCAUUCUCAAUGCCGUCAGCAACUUAGGUCCUUUAAUUUGCUCAUCAAGACCCAUAUCCUCGAUUUUUCCUGCAAGACAUACUCGUGGCUUCAAAGCAGUCUCCAGAUUCAUGUACAGCAAAAACGGGUGCGCAAGAAUCACUGUAGCAGGAAGUUUCAUUUGUCCUAACACGAAAGUCAUGUUCCUCUGAACCUUAUCCACCGAAAGGAAAAACACUAAGGGAGACCUUCCCAUAAGGCUGAAGAUCUCAUCUUCUGAGAAACCAAACUUUUCAAAAUUUGAUAUUCUCUCACUGAUAGUUUCAAGGCGUGAAAUGCCAAUGAGUGUUACAACAUACUUAUACAUCCUGGACUUAUUCGAAAGUCCAGUUUUCUGUAUAUACUCCACCUUCUCAUCGUUAAAUACAGUUCUAGGGAUCAAUGUCGGCCUCGAUAGUAGCAUUGGGACCAACUCCUCUCGGCUUAGACCCAUUCCCUCAUAAAGAGCAAUGGUCGGCUUGACCUUAUUAUGGAAGUCAUAAAUCAAGAGAGACGGGUUCCUUACAAUGGCUUUGACAAGCAGUUCCCUAGACCCAAAUAUUUUCAUAAAGAACUUAUGCCGCUCAUCAAAGCAAUGAUCAAUGCGAAGACUCAAUAACCGGGGGCGACAGUCGAUGAUCUUCAAAAGAUCAGGCGCAGUGAUACCCAGUUCACUAAGAAGGUUUAGCUUGUACUGAAGCUGGUUAAGGUCAGCUUUCCUUAAAGCAGGCCGCCGCUUGAACAGCUGCGAUAUGUCAGCUUCACAACAACCCCAUUUCUCCAGAACUUCUGCAGAUGUCUUUGGCUGGUCAAAAGUGUCUUCAACUAUGCUUUCUUCCUGGGUGAGGCAAACUGUCGAAAAGGUGGUGUGCACGAAACUUAAACAGGAUGGGAGAGAAGAUUUGGGCAUAGGAGAGCGAUUGCACGACACAGGAAACACUAUGCAGAGCUUGAAUAGAGAACCAACUCUAGAUUUCAUAUCAACAAUCCUACAACUAUGGAAUUCAAUGAUACUGCAUUUUAUUCACUUGGGUUCUUGAAAUGUCCAAAAUGGAGAGGUGGGUAUUGAUUAUCAGUCAGUUUAUUGGUAAAGCAUAACUGGGAUAUUGUAAUGCAAUAAGGAACACUAUAAAGCAGUAAACUUGAUCUGAAAAACUGAAAAGCUCAAAACUUUAUUGCAUGCACAGAAAAAAUUGAUGAGCUUGAACUGAUGGAAUCUGAAAGAGAGAAGGAAAAGUGUAGUUCUGUAAUGUUUUACCAGCACCAUAGGCGCUAGUUGCUAUUCAGCAAUCAGCAUUGCCUCGUACUCCCACCUUCGAAAGAGUUUUAGCAGAAACGGAACCCUCACCCAGUCACCGAGGUUUUAGGGGUUUAGCCCUUUGGGCACAACUGAACUGAGACAAGUGUCUCUUUUUUAUUUUGGGUCAAACGCUUUCGGUAAAUUUGCUUUCUAUGGGAAAGAGUUACUUAAACCCGAACCCAAAAUCAAGUUAAGGCCUUCACCUAGUAAACUAAUGGAAUGAUUUGAAUGAUUGCAAUGUAACAAAAUCUUUUAGUUUGGUGCCUCAUGAGGAUCUUCCUAAUCCCUAAUAUAUGUUUGCAAGUUGUAUUUUCAAAGUGUAGUUACUUUUCUAUGGUUGUUUUAUGAUCUUAGCAUUCGCAAUCAGGCAAUUAGAAACAGAAGCAGCCUUAAACAAAUGGAAUCCCAAUCUUUUGGUAUUGAUCACUGUAAUGAGCUAAUUGUAGUACACAAGAACAAGAUAAAAUCAACUGUAUCCAGAUCGAAGUUGAAAUGUAAUAAAAGGGAUUAAAGAGAACGAUUAUAAGAAUGUGUGGAAAAAAUAAUGGUAGAGAGAGUACUGUGAUUGAAUUACUCUUGGAAGUUGAAGACCAGAUGGAAAGCAAUUCAGAAAGGAAAUCCAUAAGUCAUGUUCUUCUUCGAGGCUUCUGCCAAUCGCUUCACACCCUUCACAUUUUUGUAGUACUCCAUCAAUUCAUCAGCAACCUCUUUUGGUUGACGAUUAAUAAAAGCCUUCAGAAACCUUUUCUCUUUCAUCCUCAUUACGCUUACGAUCAUAGGACCUGUAAUUUGCUGUUUAAGUUCCAUUUCAUGCAUCUUGCCUGCAAGAAGUACUCGCGGCUUUAGCACAUUCUCCAGAUUCAAGUAUAACAAACUCGGGUGAUCAAGAACUGCUUUAGCAGAAAGCUUCAUAUGUGAUAAGAUGAAAGUCAUGUUCCUCUGAACCUUAUCGAUUGACAAUGUCAUAACUAAUGGAGACCUCCCAAAAAGUCCCAGAACCUCAUCUUCUGACAAACCAAACUUCUCAAAGUUUGCCAUCUUCUGACGGAUAGUUUCAAGGCGCGAAACCCCAAUGAGAGUGACUAUAUACUUAUACAUUGCGGAAUCACUUGACACCCUGGUCUUGCGGAUAAACUCCAUCUUCUCUUCAUUAAAUGAAGUUCUUGAAAUCAAUGUUGGCCGCGCUAGAAGCAUUUGGAUCAAGUCCUCCAUGCCAAGACCAAGUACUCUAUACAUCUCAACGGUGGGUUUGAUUUUCUUGUGAAGAUCAUACGUCAGGAUAGAAGGGUUCCUCAAAAUGGCUUUUAUAAGCAACUCCCUUGACCCAAACAAUUCAUCAAAGUAGUCAAGCUGCUCAGCAAAGCAGUCGAGUCGAGGAAUGAGAAACCGUGGCCGGUCACUGACUAUCUUCACCAGCUCAGGUGGGGUAAGUCCCAAGCCAGAUAGGAGUUUGAGUUUCGACUGAAGCUGGUCGAUGUCAGCUUUCUUUAGAGCAGAUGCCUUUGUGAAAAUCUUGGUUAUGUCAGCGUCGCUGCAGCCCAAUCUCUUCAGAACUUGCAGAGAGUCUUCGGGUUGGUUUGUAUCGUCUCCUACGGCACCUUCUAGUUGGGUCAGGCAAACCGUCGAAUAGUUGGUGGGCAUGAAGAUGGAGGACCUUGGUCGGAUCAGACAUUUGGGAAAAGGGAUUGAAUAUCGCGAAGCAGAUAAUACAUUUCGGAGCUUGAGUAAAGAUUGGAUUCUGGAUUUCAUGUCAAUGGGUGCUGUGAUUCAUUGAAGGAAGUAAGAAAAGGUUUGGGUUAGAGAGAAGGUUUGGGAAUGGAAGCUUUAGAUUUGGAAGAGAAUGUAUCUGAGAAUUUGGGUUAACAACUUCAUAAAGUUGUAAUCCUGAGGUCUGUACAUUUAGAUUUAGACCCUUAUUAAAGAAUAGGGUUUGAAUUGGGUUUUGUAGGAAUCAAAUUGAAGCGGGAAACAAAGAUCCAAGUUAUGAUCUUUACCACCAUUAUUGUUCAAUGUUCAUAUGCAACGGCUAUGGUAAAAAAAGAGAGGGUAAAACCGUCUUUUACUUUUGAGAAAGUAAAAAUAGUUUACUCCAUGAAAGUAGAAUAAUUUUCCUUAUAACAGAAGAAGGCUUCUUAAUGCUUCACCGUGGACACAUGCAUUUCUUCGAACCAUACUCCAUCGGGAAAAAACCCGAAGAAGUAUGUCUGGGUUUUAGCUAAAAGCCAUUUGUAAAAUAUCCUCAUUCAGUUACUCAUGCUUUGUAAAUAACAACCUCAACAAGCCCUGCGUUUUUCUUAAGGUACCUUGAGAUUUCUAUGAUACUUGUGUUAUAUGAAUGACCAUUAGUUUUCCAUUGUUGAAGCUUUCGUCUGUGACUCAAUCUCUACUCAUGUGAAUUAACAGGAAUCAUUACCCAAGUAUGGUGUCUCUUGGAACCACUGAGGGGUAAUGACCCUUGCAAAUUGCAAUGAUGAGGGUGUGGGUCAAAGUAGUCAUUGUUAAGUGUUAACUGUCAACUACCUAGACCUUGAAAUCUAAACUUGUUUUCUGUCUUCAACCUGAGUUGCUUUGCUUUCUGGGUUCUUACGUGUGAUCCUGAAAACUUCACAAAUCCUACUCAAGCUUUGGAAUCGGGCCAAUAAUUCAAGUCAUCAAUUAUUAGUCACGAGCCACAACAAAUUCCAUUCUUUAAUCAAUCCAAAACUUAAGGGGUUCUCAUCUAAUCUUCUGCAUGUGGAGUCGAUGAUACUCUGAAACCAGGGAAAGGAAACCAGCCAAACCGGCCACCAAACAAAAAAGAAACAGAGAGAUGAGUUCUCAUGAGGAUGAAAGAGCUCUUUUAGAAGAUACGCUUUUGCAGGUUCCAUCUCCUUCUUAAUCUUAGCUUUGCAUUAGAAAAGUGCAUGAAAUGAAUUUGUAUUUUGUUCCCUGAAGAGUUUGUGUCAUUCUUGGAUUGGAGGACCGCCGAUUGCUUGUUUUGUUUUCUCUCUAGCCUGUUUGCAACUGCUAGUGUAUCAUCUACAAUAUAAGAAACAAAAUAUUUGACUUUGAUUUGAUUGGUAGUGAGUGAAGAGGAAGAUUUGGGUUCUGUGUGCAUAGUUCUACCCUUCAGUUGAAUAUAUAGAAAGAAAUAAGGCUGAGGCUUAGAGCUGAUUCAAAAUAUGCCACUUCUGACCAUAUCAUGCUGGUUUGGUUAUGCUGGACUGGUAGUUGAGACUAGGACUCAACUUUCUGACUCUACUUAUAUUUCAUCCUCACUUAUCUUUACUUUUCUUUAUCGUUUAAAUAGAUUUUUUGUAUGCCUCUAUACAAGAAAUUAAUUCUUGUACUUCGUUUUCUGAAAAUAAUAAUGCUAAUUUUAUUUGAUUAAGAACUUUCAUUUUUAGUGUUAAAUUUUGAAGAGCUUGGAGCCUUUCAGCGGGAAAAGAGAAACCCUUUAAUAUUCCAAUGCUUGAAACAAUAUGAAUGCUUGAUUUUUGAUGCUAAACAUUUGUACAUGGACUGUGCUAAGGCGAACCGAGAACUGCAUCACUUUUCUCCUGCACAUUCGUAUCAUGUUUUGUCAAAUGAAUGUUUAUGUCGUUUCUUCAGAAUGAUGGCAGCGGACAGAACACUAAAGACGGUUCAGUUGACAGCAAGGGAAAGCCUGCCCUUAAAAAUAAAACUGGCCAGUGGAAAGCAUGCUCCUUUGUUCUUGGUGAUAUACUGUUUUCAACAUUGGCUAUUAUUUAUCUAAGUAAUGUGUUCUGUUCAUGACAGUUCAUAAAUUGAAAUACAAAUGCAGGUACCUUUUUCUGUGAAAGAUUGGCCUUCUAUGGGAUUUCUACCAAUCUUGUCAAUUAUCUUCUUGACACACUACAUGAAGGAACUGUCGAUGCUGCAACAGCUGUUACCAAUUGGAAAGGAACUUGCUAUCUUACACCUCUCAUUGGGGCCAUCAUAGCUGAUACUUAUUGGGGAAGAUAUUGGACAAUCGCCAGUUUCACUAUCGUCUACUUGAUUGUAAGUAUAAGCAGCAUAUCCAUACUUGCUCGUUUUAGCUAUCCAUUAGAACACCCCAAAACAGGAGAGAUAUUUUCAUUUCUAAUAGUUGAUCACAUUCUAUGCACUUUUACAUAUCUCCCUUAUGUAUCAAAUGGUUGCCAUUUCCUGCAGGGAAUGGGUACUUUGACUCUAUCGGCAUCAGUUCCUGCGCUUGAGCCUGCUGCAUGUGUCGAUUCUGUAUGCCCCAAAGCUACAACUGCACAAUAUGCUGUAUUCAUUGCUGGACUAUAUCUCAUUGCAUUAGGGACUGGAGGCAUCAAACCUUGUAUAUGGCCUUUUGGGGCGGAUCAGUUUGAUGAUUCCGAUCCCCAGGAAAGAGUGAAGAAGGGGUCCUAUUUCAACUGGUUCUACUUUUCUCAAAACAUCGGCGCUAUUAUAGCAAGCAGUUUACUGGUGUGGAUUCAGGACGAUGUUGGGUGGGGAAUUGGAUUUGGAAUCCCUACUGCGGUUAUGGGAGUUUGCAUUGCAAGUUUAUUUUUAGGUACUUCACUGUACCGAUUUCAGAAACCAGGCGGCAGUCCUCUUACAAGAAUAUGCCAGGUUUUGGUUGCAUCAUUCCAUAAAAGAAAUCUGAAGGUGACUGAUGAUAGCCUCCUUUAUGAAACACAAGACAUUAGCUCUGCCAUUGCGGGGAGUCGUAAACUGGAGCACAGCAAUGAGCUGAGGUAGUCUUCUUCUUCAUUGUCCAGGAUAGGGUAGCAUCAUUCCACUAAAUAUUGCACAAUAAAUUUAUGUUUUCAAUGCAUUGAUGCUAACGUACUAUGUCUUUGCUGCAGGUGCCUAGAUAAAGCUGCUUUGGUGUCAGAUGCUGAGAUUGAAUGUGGGGACUUCUCAAAUCCAUGGAGGCUUUGUACUGUUACACAGGUAGAGGAAUUGAAGAUUUUGAUUCGCAUGUUUCCAAUCUUGGCAACAGGAAUUGUGUUUUCUGCCGUUUAUGCCCAAAUGUCUACAUUGUUUGUGGUACAAGGCAAGCUGAUGGACAGAGUUGUUGGCUCUGUCACCAUUCCUGCAGCAUCUCUCUCAUUUUUUAAUUCUGUAAGUGUUAUCAUCUGGGUCCCUAUCUACGACACGAUAAUCAUUCCAAUCGUCAAGAAGUAUACAGGCAAGGAGAGGGGUUUCUCACAGUUGGAACGCAUGGGAAUCGGGCUCUUUGUAUCGAUUCUAUGCAUGUCAGCUGCUGCAGUGGUAGAGAUUAAGCGAUUGCAGCUUGUCAGGGAGCUUGGCUUGGUUGAUGAAGAGGUUGCUGUACCGCUUAGCAUACUUUGGCAAAUUCCACAAUAUUUUUUGUUAGGCGCUGCUGAGGUUUUCACCUUUGUUGGGCAGCAUGAGUUCUUCUAUGAGCAAGCGCCGGAUGCCAUGAGGAGUUUGUGCAGUGCAUUGUCUCUUUUGACAAAUUCAUUGGGGAGUUACCUCAGCUCUCUCAUUCUGACAAUCGUCACCUCGAUCACUACACAGGGAGGGAGUCCAGGAUGGAUUCCAGACAACUUGAAUGAAGGCCAUCUUGAUUAUUUCUACUGGCUUUUGGCUGGACUCAGCCUCCUCAAUUUGCUGGUAUACAUGGUCUUUUCCAGAAGGUACAAGGAGAAGAAAGCUGCUUAAGAUGUCAUCAAGGGCAAGAAGUUGAAGUUUGAUUUCUAAUCACUUUCCGAGAUGGCAGCAAGCAAUUGCUGGAAAGAACUGUUUACAACUAUUGUAGUAAAUCGUAAAGAUUAUUGGUUCACAAUUUGCUUGGUUGCAAAUUGAAAGAUAUGAAUUAAUUUGGUUAGCAAUGAGCACUUCUGCUAUGCAAUUGUAAGCAUAGCUCAAGAGCUAAAAGUGAUAAAUUACUUUAAUUCAUUUGUUGGCAUAUGCAGUUUUGCAGAAACCAAUCAGUAUAGAAUAUUCUAGUACUGUUCAUAGCUUUAAGCUAUCCCCGGAGAAGUUGAGGGUUUCUUAAGCAAGAGAAAACAAUAUAUAUUUCUGAUCAGACUGUUCUGAACAUGUGACAAACUAGAUUAUUUCCUUAAAGAUUGCCCAAUCAUGCUGACACUGAUAUAGCAUGUUCAGUAUAUUGACCAGGUUGGGGAGAUAACAUCUGAUUUUGAGACUGUUCAAGUGGUUGAAAUGCUCUUACAGACGCAAACUUGUAACUUCUUGUGUCUUCAUCCUGGUAAUUAACUCAUCCUGCAGGAUAAACUCUUGUAAGUUUUUCAGGUCUGCAAAUGUAUAAACUCCUACUGGUUGAACAUUCCAAACACACAAAGAAUGCAGAUAAGGUAGGGAGAGUGAGCAUGUUUACCUGGAGGGUACAGCACUAUAGAUGACAUUUUAUUAGGGAAAAUGUCCAUUUAAUACUAAUUUUAACCCCUCAUUGCCGAUUCCAAUGUAGAUUCUUCUGUUUUCUUUCAUAACAUAUGAUCAAUUUUCCAAGUGCAGCAUUCAGGAAAAGCUUAACACAACAUGAGCUUAUCCAUAUCAACCUAGGAAUGGCUCCUAUGUCCAGCUAUCUCCACUCUGAUCUGCUUCAGCACAAGCUUGAUUUUGCAUGUCAUUGUUUGGUGGUAUGAGCUUUGAAAUUAAUCCCAAUGACUCGUCGUCCACGCCUGCCAAUAUGUUUCCAAAAGGACGAUGACAUUAUCAAUAUGUCAAAUUUCAAUAAGACUUAUAUGAAGUUCAUCCUGUAGCAGAAACAGACAGACAGUACAGAACUGCAGAGUUUUGAGGAAGGAUAUAUACCUGAGUGUUCAGAAGUAAUGGAACACAUCCACGUCAUCAAAGAACAAUGAUAUCCCAAAAGUAUAAGGGAUAAACAAACUCUUCUGAGCAUAGACAGAAGAUCCACAUGAUCAGUUGAAUAAUAAAUCCGUGCCCCUCUUUGCGGAUGUAAACUAAUUUAGCUAGUUGUACUGUCUUACGAUGGCUGGAAAAGCAACGGUUUAUUAGCUGUGGACUGUAAAAGGCUGUGUGCUGGUUCCUUUUUCAUACUCCUGUUAUCUACCAGACCUCGUGUCUCCAAGGCAUUGUCCCAAGCACCAGAUGCGGCAUAGAUGCUUCCAAGAACAACAUAGUUAACUGAUUUCUCUGGAUCAAUAUCAUAAAGAUGCAUUGCUGCCACUUCCCCAAGUGACUUAUUACCAUAGUUGCUACAUGCCCCAAGAAUGGCUCCCCAAAGUGAAGCAUUAGGCUUAAUAUUCAUGUGCCGUAUCAAAUUAUGAGCAUCUUCUAGCAAACCUGCACGUGCAUGAAGAUCUACCAAGCAGGAGAAAUGCUUAGCUCGAGGCAUGAUGUUAUAUUUGCUAUACAUAGAACUGAAGCAUUCCCAUCCUUCAUCUGUCAAUCCACUAUGGCUACAAGCAAAGAGAAGAGACAAGAAUGUAACAUCAUUAGGCUUCAAUCCCUCACGCUCCAUCUCUCUAUAUAAUGCAAUCGCUUUAUGUCCAUGGCCGUUCCUUCCAUAUCCAGAAAUCAGUGACGUCCAUGAAACUACAUUUUUUUCCUCCAUCUCAUCAAAAGCAUGGUUAGCAUCUUCAAUUUCUCCGCAUUUUGCAUACAUAUCAACAAGAGCAUUCCCCAAGGCCACGUCAAGAGAAGGUUGGUGUUUAAACACAAGUGCAUGGAUUUGUCUUCCAAAAAUCAAUGAAGCAACAUUUGCACAUAUAUUAAGCAUGGAGCAUAGUAUGACACCAUCCAGUCUCAUGUUCAUAACAAUCAUUUCUUUGAAGAGAUCUAACACACCUCCGCUGUAGUUACCUUCUCGUGCAUAUCCAUUAAUUAGUGCAGUGGAGCACAUAAUGUCCUUUUUUAUCAUACUCCUGUAUAUUCUAUGAGCAGACUCUACCUUCCCACAUUUUGCAUAUGCGUUGAUUAGCGAUCCACUUAAACUUCUGUGUGAUCCAAAACCCAGUUGCAUCAUCAACCCAUGCAUUUGACUAAUCCUCACCAAACCACUAUCUCCGGCCAAGCCUCUCAAAACACUCCCGAAUGUGAAGCAAUCAGGAACCAUACCUGACAUACGAAAAAUCAAAUAUGAAACAGACACAAAGAACAACACAACAACAAGACUACCAAACAUUGAAAAAAAACAAAGUAACCAAAAGCAUAAACAUUCACCUUCCCUCAUCAUUUUCUGAAACAUACGCAACGAGUCCUCACCAAAACCCUGAACAGCAUACCCUCCAAUGAUUGCAUUCCAAGAAACCAAGUCCCUCUCAGACAUUGCCUCAAAAACACAACAAGCAUCUUCCAUCUUCCCACACUUGGCAUGAAAAUCAACUAGUGCACUUCUCACAAACAAGUUCUCACCAAACCUUCCUUUCAAAACACACCCCUGUAUCUGCACCCCUACUCCCAAUGCCCUCAAACCAGUGCAUGCCUUCAAUGCACUCCCAUACCCAAACUGAUUAGCCCUCACCCCCGCUCUACGCAUUUCCAAAAAUACCCCCAAAGCUUUCUCAUAGUUUCCACUCUGAGCAUACCCAGAAACCAUAGAGGUCCAAGACACAACAUUUCUCUCAGGCAUUCUAUCGAACACCUUGCCUGCAGUGACUACACGCCCAAACUUGCAAUAAAAGUUUAUUAAUUUGGUGUUCAAAUUCAAAUUAGAAGCAAACCCAUUUGUUAUCAUAUGGGUGUGAGCCAAAAGACCGGGUCUUUCUACUCGUUCAUCGAUGCAGAGCUGCAGAAUCUUCAUGUACAAGCAAUAGUAAUGAUCCAAGUGAGUUGGGUACGAUUGACCAAGUCUCAGAGCUUCUUGAAGGUGACUCCUUUUCCACAAUGAUUGCAUUAUGUUAUUGGGUUUAUGCCAUUAAUGGCUUUUGAUUUGGGUUUGGGUUUUUGACUGAUACUAAUCUGAUCUUCAAGAUUUGGGUUCAAGUCUUGAAGAAGAGAGAUCAUAGGUUUGGUAUCAAACCAAGUUCUCUAUUUGGAUAGAUUUGUUGAGUUGUCACAUUUAUUUUUAAAUUUGGGUCAAUAGGGUUUAUGGUUUUCGGAGAAAGGUGGUUGAUAUGUGUUUAAUGAGAUACUCACUGAAUCAAUAUCAGCCAAAGGCCUUCGUUUGGUUGAUGGCACAUUUAUUUUUAAAUUUGGGUCAAUAGGGUUUAUGGUUUUCGGAGAAAGGUGGUUGAUAUGUGUUUAAUGAGAUACUCACUGAAUUAAUAUCAGGCCUUCGUUUGGUUAUGGAAAAGACAUUAGUUCAUUGGUCUUUUUUAUGUACAUAGAAAAAUAAAUUUCUCACUAGUUUCUCUAUGAAGUGUUUGAGAACGUCAAGAAAUUAACUAAGAAAUGUAUUUUAUUUUCCUUUCCAAUGUUUGGUUUAUGCAUGGAUAAGAAAAGAAGUAACACUAAUUUACCAAUUAUAUCCUUAGAAUUAAAAUAUAAAAUAUUCAAGAUUCAAAAAUUUUAUAGAUAAUUUGGUAAUAAUAUACAUUAAAAUAAUAUUUGAAAUAUGCAAUUAAUGUUGGGAAAGUAUGAGAGAUUGAAUCCCAUGGUAUAUGGGCAGAUCCAAUUUUCCAUCUAUUUUUUUUCUUUCCUUAAGUGUGCCAAACAAAGGAAAGUAACAAUUUUCCGUCCCAACAUUUCCAAUCUAUGAACCAAACAAGGCCUUUGGGUUGAUGAAGUUUCAAUUUCUGAGAAUUAAAAAGAAAGAAAAGAAUGGACUCAUUAGAUUAGCUGAAAAAGAAAAGCUUAUUUUAAUUGUUAAUCUCCUUGUCAAUAUCUGGUACUUCAAGUCUGUACCUGUCAUAAAUUUAACAAAUGAAAACAAUAAUAUAUAGAGUAAAGCUUAAUUUUCUGAUGCUUUGUUUGCUUGUCUGCAAUGACCGUUUACUUUUGAAGAGAAUAUUUUCUAGUCUACUGUAAGCGAGUUUUCAAUAGUUGGACUCCAUCUAUGAUCAAGGCUCCUAAAGUAUAUUCCACUUGCUUUGUUUAGAGGCACAACCAAAAGAUUUGAGCCAAGUUUUAUCAUUUGGAGAAGGGAACCUUAAGGUUGUGUUUAUUCAUGGCGUGCAGUCAUAACUUGAUUUUGUUUAUCUUUUUGUCAAGCUUGUGGAGUAGUUGCAAUGGUGCAAUGCACAUACUGGAACCAGGUGACUCUCUCGAUUCUUCAAGCUCCUUGGUUUCUGCAAAUGGGAAGUUCACUUUGAGUUUUCAUAGAUAUGAUGAUGCUGCAAGCUUGAGCUACCUAGUUUCGAAGUAUAAUGCGAGUCAUGAUUAUGCUUGGGUUGCAAAUAGAUACACUCCUGUUUUAUAUCCUUUUGGAAUUCUUACGUUGGACAGGAACAACACAUUGAAAAUCACUCAGAAAGAUGGUGAUCCUGUGGUGCUUUACUCUGCUGACUCAGGAACUAUCAUUGGUGAUGUUGUGGCUACUCUUAUGGAUGAUGGUAAUUUUGUGCUACAAGAAUUGAGCUCUGAUGGAUCGGCAAAGAGGGUUUUGUGGCAGAGUUUUGAUUAUCCAGGAGAUGUGCUUCUGCCAGGUAUGAAAUUAGGGGUUAACCGUAGUACUGGCCACAAUUGGUCACUCUCAUGCUGGUUAACUGAGAAAAGUGCAGUGCCAGGACCUUUCACUCUUGAUUGGGACCCUGAUGGAAAAGAAUUGCAAAUUAGGAGACGAGGGGUAGUUUAUUGGAGCAGUGGAGUCUUCAGAGAUGGGAGUUUGGAAAAUAUUAAGCAGAAGAGGUAUAAGUUCAGCAUUGUUUCAAAUGAGAAUGAAGACUAUUUCAGUUACUCUGCUGUUGAUCGAAAUGCUAGACCAGAAUGGCUGCUAACCACAAUAGGGAGACUAUAUGACUUUGAUGGAUCAAUGGAUAUUGCAAAAGCGGAUUCAUGUUAUGGAUAUAGCACUGAUGGAGGAUGCCAGAUUUGGGACCAGCCAACUGAGUGUAGGCGUUUUGGGGAUGUUUUUGAGCAAGAAAAUGGGUACUUCAAUCCGACUGGUUCCAGUGGUGCAAGUGUAACAUCUACCAGUGAUUCAAACACAAGUCUCAGUAUUAGUGAUUGUAAGGCUGCUUGUUGGGCAGAUUGUAACUGUCGUGGAUUCAUCUUUCUGAAUGCUAAUCAGACUGGAUGUCGGUAUUGGACUGGGAACUUGAAGUUCAUAGCAGACAGUGCAGGUUACAGUUCAAGUGUUGUUUACUUUUUAACAAAAAAAUCAGCCAGCAGCCGCUGUAAGUAUAUCAAUCUUUAAAGCUAGUAUUGUUCCACUAAUUUCUGUUUCCUAUGACUUCACAUAAUUCCACAUCAAGAACAAAUAAUAAGCUUUUGGGCAUAGAAAGUAAACAAUAGUCGCUUACACAACAAGCAAUGAAUUUUAGUCGUAAAUAGAAUAGAAAGUAGAAUGUAAGUUAAUGUUGAGUAAAAUUGCAUGAUUCACACAUUUAUUGCUAUAUAACUUGUUAUACUAUCUAGAUUAGAGGUUUCAGCAACCAGGCAUGGUUCUUUUCCAGAACCGUAUAUUGUAAGUUUGUAACUCCAUAUAAGUCUAAUUGUUAGCCUAUGCAGCACGUAAGUGGAUAUGGACUGGUGCUGCUAUUGUCACUGCUCUAUUGGUAAUGGUGCUUUGCAUAUUAUGCUGUCUAUUACGAAGAAAACUUAUCUUGUCAGGUAAUCUUUCCACAUAAAGAAUUAAUCUGUAGACACAAUUUCACAGAAUUGAAAAACGAAUAUAUUCUAAUUUGUAUAUUACUCUUAGUAGGGGAGAACAAGAGAAAGAUUGAUGAGCAAAAACUACUUCGCUUAAGGGGAUCUGAUAUAUCAACUGAUGUCCACGGGAUUCAGCAUGAUGGAUCCAUGGGACAUGAUUUAAGAGCAUUUAGCUAUGAAUCUGUCAUGGCUGCCACGGACAACUUCUCCUUACAGAACAAGCUAGGAGAGGGGGGAUUUGGACCUGUUUAUAAGGUAAACUUGAGGUAAUGAGAACUUUAGGAGUUAAUUAUAAAUUGGCUACUAAAUGAAACUGAUCAUAUGGCCUAUUAUGGAUUCAAUUCAGGGAAAAAUGCCGACUGGUCAAGUUAUAGCUGUAAAGACACUUUCAAGUUGUUCAGGGCAAGGGGAAGUAGAGUUUAAGAAUGAAUUGAUACUCAUAUCUGAACUCCAACAUACUAAUCUAGUUCAGCUUUUCGGAUUUUGCAUCCAUGGUAAAGAGAGGAUGCUGAUAUACGAGUAUAUGCCAAACAAGGGUCUGGACUGCAUUUUAUUUGGUAAUUAGACAAUCACUUAAUUGUACAUCUGAGUUUUAGUUAUGAAUAACCUUUUCUUACUGAACUGAGUCUCUGUAUGUAUGGCCAGAUUCAACAAGAUGCAUGCUACUAGAUUGGAAGAAGCGCUUCAAUAUAAUUGAAGGAAUCGCCCAAGGAUUGCUUUAUCUGCACAAGUACUCAAGAUUGAAAGUAAUUCAUAGAGAUCUUAAAGCAAGUAACAUACUACUUGAUGAAAAUAUGAACCCCAAAAUAUCUGAUUUUGGUACGGCAAGGAGUUUCAUGCUCAAUGAAGUUGAAGCAAAUACUGGGCGGAUUGUUGGGACACAGUAAGUCCUAUACUAUAUAAGAAGAAUCUUCCUAUUGUAUCUGUUACUUCUGGUUGCUAUUCAUGCGUUCAUGUAAUGUGUACUAAAGAUAUGUUCUCUUUCAUUUGGACAGUGGUUACAUGUCUCCCGAGUAUGCUAUGCAGGGAAUUUUUUCUGGAAAAUCUGAUGUUUUCAGUUUUGGAGUGUUGAUGCUUGAAAUCAUAAGUGGUAGGAGAAACAACAGGUUUCACAAUGCUCAUCGCGCGCUCAAUUUAGUAGGAUAUGUAUGUCAUGCAAUUCUUAUUGUAUGAAAUUCUUUUUUCUUUCUUUUAGGUGUGAUCAACAUCUGAUAUAUCCUAAAUGAAUUCAAUGUUGUUUCAGGCUUGGGAGUUAUGGCAAGAAGGUGCAGGACUGGAAUUGAUGGACACAACAUUAAGUGAUUCGUGUGUUGAAAAUCAAUUUUUAAGAUGCAUCCAUGUUGGUCUACUAUGUGUUGAAGAAGAUCCAGAACUUCGGCCAACCAUGUCAGAUGCCAUUUCUAUGUUGACAAAUGAAAGCCUGCCUUUACCUAUACCAACGAGACCGGUAUCUUUUCCAGUAAGGCAUUCGGCUGGGGUUGAUAUAAGAGGAACCGAAUCCGAAAUGUUAUCAGAAAAUGGCUUGUCCAUCUCCCUUAUUAUAGGACGAUGAAGGCACUACUGACAUUUUUAGCAUGCCUCAGUUAUACUUUUGUCAGAGUACCGAUAUUUGGUUUAGAAGAUUAACUUUGCCAGACAUCUUUGAUCACUUUAGCUGGCACUUCAUAUGUGCUAUGGCCUGUGGGAGAAGGUGCUCGCCUAAGAAUCUUACCUGGUAGAGUUAGAUCAAAUGUAAAUAGCUAAAUGAUUCUUUGUGAAAACAGUGUCAUAUAUACUAGCACAUAUCUCCUCUGGAUUUUGUUUGUAACUGUCUAAUAGGUAAUCAAGUGGACAGUUACUGUUUAUUUUUUAAAUUUUUUAAUUUUUAAUUUUUAAUUUUUUUACACUUGACAUACUUAAAUUGAUCUUUGUUGUAACAAUGUUUCCUGUCAUUAUCAACAUCUCUGUGCUUUAUGUUUACUAUGUAAACAAAGUGUCAUAUAUACAAGUAGAUUGUAUCUCCUCUGUAGUACACCUGUAACUAUGCAACAAGUAAUUUAAGUAUAUAAAAGAGAGGUCACUAUAGUGUGUGUCCUAAUCAAAUUUUACAAUAAUUUACUCAAGUGUAUAAGAAACGUCACUGUAAUAUGUGUCAUAAUCAAGUUUUAAUGUAGUUUAUAAAGUUAAUGAGAGACGAUUUCUAGAAGUUGAAACCAGAGUUGCCUAUUGUUGAAGUUGAAACCGGAUUUACUUGUUGAAGUUGAAACCGGAUUGUUUUUCAGUGGACUUUUGAAUCUUCAUUACAAGUUUGCCUUGGAGUGGACCCACUCUUCUCAAUGCUUGCAUCAUUUGAGAUUUUUCUACAACUGCUGUCAUUGCAAUUAUUCCAAGGUUGAUAUUUUCGAGUUAGGUCUGUCUAGCUUGUUUAGGUCAUGUUGCCAAUGGGGACCAAAUGACCACCUCACUUUCAUUUUCUGUUUUUGUUUUGGCGGCUAGUAAACCAAUGAGAUCUGAGAUACACCCUUCCCAUUUUUAACCAUGUGUCAAAAUGGCCAGAAACGUAAGCGGUUUUCGUUCUUCCUUUAAUUGUAAAGACACUGCCAAGGACCCAACUCAACGGCGGCAGUUCCUCACUACCACCCACCGCCACCAUUCAAUCCCAAAACUCUAAGUCUUUGGAGAAGAAGAUACAUCAGAGGUUUGGCCUCAAAACCCAAGUUCUCAGUUCUCUGUUUGAUUCAAGUUCAAUUCUUUUUACCAUCUUUCAGCUUUGGGUCAAUUGGGUUAUGUGGGUUUUGAAGAGAAAGGUGGUUGAAAUGUGUUUGGUGCAAGUAGUGAGUGAUUAAGAAAGAAAGCUCAUUUCUUUAGUGCUUAAAAUAGCUGUAAUUGGGAUAAGGCAACACUCCUGUGACUCCUGUCCCUCUCUUCUCAUCUAUCAAAUAGAGAACCUGAAUAAUUAAAGUAAAAGACUUCAUUUUUGUAAUGCUCUAUACCCAGCUGGCUGCAGUUGACCGUUUACUUUUUAGGGAGAGAUUGGUUUUUGAGUGAUAAAUUCCCUUCAAUUAUUCCAGCACAAAAAGGGUCUCUGGAAUAUUUGGCUUUAAUUGCUGUACAGCCCAGUUUUUUUUUUUUGUCAGACAAAGAUUUUAUAAAUUUGGAUUUUGGAGGAGUUGUUCUUUUGUGGUUGUGGUGAUAUAUGGCUCGCGCUGCGGAUUUGAUUUGCUUGAUGUUUGUGUGGAGCUUGUGGAGUGCUGCUUGUAAUGGUGCAACAAACACAUUGAAACCAGGUGAUAGUUUAGUUUCUGAUAGUUCAUUAGUUUCUGCAAGUGGGAAGUUCACUAUGAAUUUUCGUGUUUAUGAUCAUGAGGCAAACUUGAGCUACUUAGUUAUAAAGUAUAAUGCGAGUCAUAACUAUGCUUGGGUUGGGAAUAGAGAAACACCGAUUCUGUACCCUUUUGGAGUUCUUACCUUGGACAGGAACAACACAUUGAAAAUUACUCACAGAGAUGGGGAUGCAGUGGUGCUUUACUCUGCUGAAUCAGGAACUGUCAGUGGUGAUGUUGUGGCUACUCUUACGGAUGAUGGCAAUUUUGUGCUACAAGAGUUGAGCUCUGAUGGAUCGGUGAAGAGGGUUUUGUGGCAGAGUUUCGACUAUCCUGGAGAUGUGCUUCUGCCAGGUAUGAAGUUAGGGGUUAACCGUAGUAAUGGCCAUAAUUGGUCACUCUCGUGCUGGUUAACUGAGAGAAGUGCAGUACCAGGACCUUUCACUCUUGAUUGGGACCCUGAUGGAAAACAAUUGAAAAUUAAGCGGCGUGGGGUGGUGUAUUGGAGUAGUGGAGUGUUUCGAGAUGGGAAUUUUGAAAAUAUUAAGCACAAGAGGUAUAAUUUUAGUAUUGUUUCAAAGGAGAAUGAAAACUAUUUCAGUUACUCUGCUGUAGAUGAAGAUGCUAUAUCAGAAUGGCUGCUCACCACAAUAGGGCGACUAAAAGACUUUGAUGGAUUACUUGAUAUUGCAAAAGCAGAUGACUGUUAUGGGUAUAACACUGAGGAAGGAUGCCAGAUUUGGGACCAGCCAACUAAGUGUGGGCGCUUUGGUAAUAUAUUUGAGCAAGAAAAUGGUUACUUCAAUCCGGCAGAUUCUAGUGGCUCUCCUACAACAUCAACAACAGAUCCAAAUACAAGUCUCAGCAUUAGUGAUUGUAAGGCUGCUUGUUGGGCAGAUUGUAACUGUUGUGGAUUUAUCUUUCUGAAUGCUAAUCAAACUGGAUGUCGGUAUUGGAUUGGAAACUUGAAAUUCGUUCCAGACAGCACGGGUUAUAGUUCACAGAUCGUAUAUUUUUUAACAACAAAGUCAGCCGAUAGCAGUUGUGAGUAUACUAAUCCUUUGCUUGUUUAUAAUAAGCAUGUUUGUCUAUACAAUAACUGGUAUAUUAUAACUCUGUAUAUAGCUAAUUGUUCGCCUAUGCAGCACAUAAGUGGAUAUGGAUUGGCACUGCUAUUGGUACUUCUGUAUUUCUAAUGGUGUUUUGCAUCAUCUGCUGUCUAUUAAGAAGAAGAAAACUCUCCCUUUUUGGUAAGUUCUUAAACAUAAUGAGAUUUUAGAGAUAAUUUCCCAGAUUUGAAGAACAAAAAAAGUUUCUAUAUUGUACUAAAUAGGGAAGAACAAGGCAAAGAUCGAUGAGAAGGACCUGCUUGACUUGAGGGGAUAUGAUAUAUCAACUGAUGCCCACGGAAUUCAGAAUGAUGGAUCCAUGGGACAUGAUUUAAGAGCAUUUAGCUAUGAAUCUGUCACGGCUGCAACAGACUACUUCUCCUUUCAAAACAAGCUUGGAGAGGGGGGCUUUGGACCUGUUUAUAAGGUUAGUUUGACGUAAUGAGAAUUAAUAUUCUAAUUGCGUGCUAUAUGAAACUGAUCAUAUGGCUUGACGUUGAUUAUCAAUUCAGGGAAAAUUGGCAUCAGGGCGAGAAGUAGCUAUAAAGAGACUUUCAAGAGGUUCGGUGCAGGGGAUAUCGGAGUUUAAAAAUGAAUUGAUACUCAUAUCUGAACUCCAGCAUACUAACCUUGUUCAGCUGUUGGGAUAUUGCAUUCAUGGUGUAGAAAGGAUGUUAGUAUACGAGUAUCUUCCAAACAAAAGUUUAGACUACAUAUUAUUUGGUAAUCAGCUAUGUUUCAUCUAAGUUCUUGUUUCAUCUCAGUUUCAGUGUUGAAAAUACAGAUUUUGUCAUGUUAACCAAGCACUCUAUAUGUAUUGGCCAGAUUCAACCAGAGGCAUGCUACUAGAUUGGAAUAGACGUUUCAAUAUAAUUGAAGGAAUCGCUCAGGGAUUGCUUUAUUUGCACAAAUACUCAAGAUUGAAAGUAAUACAUAGAGAUCUUAAAGCGAGUAACAUACUACUUGAUGAAGAUAUGAAUCCCAAAAUUUCUGAUUUUGGUAUGGCAAGGAUUUUCACAGUUAAUGAAGUUGAAGCAAAUACUAAUCGGAUUGUUGGGACGUAGUAAGAUAUACGCUAGCAACUUAUUCCUUGUUUCUUUCGGUUUUUAUUGCUAAUCAUACAUUUAUGUGUGUGUGCGCACUAAAAAUAGGUUCUUUUUCAAUGGUACAGUGGUUACAUGUCACCUGAGUAUGCUAUGGAGGGCAUUUUUUCGGGAAAAUCUGAUGUCUUUAGUUUUGGAGUGUUGAUGCUUGAAAUCAUAAGUGGUAGGAGAAACAACAGCUUUCACAAUGCUCACCGCGCGCUCAAUUUAGUAGGAUAUGUAUGUCAUGCAAUUCUUUCAAUUGUAAUGAAUUUCUUUUUCGUUUUGUGGUGUGAAGUUUUGAUAAUAUAGAGAUAUAAUCUUCUUUCAGACAUGGGAGCUAUGGAAAGAAGGUGCAGGACUAGAUUUAAUGGAUCCAAGGCUAAGCGGUUCGUGUAAUGAAGAUCAAUUGCUAAGAUGCAUACAUGUUGGUCUUUUAUGUGUGGAAGAAGAUGCAGACCAUCGCCCAACCAUGUCAGAUGCCAUAUCAAUGUUGACCAAUGAAAGUUUGCCAUUACCUACACCAACAAAGCCAGCAUUUUUUCCAGUAAGACAUGUGGCUGAAACUGAUGCAAGUGGGAGCAAAUCAGAAAUUUCCUCAACUGACUUCACAAACUCCUUUGUUAUGGGCCGAUGAAGGCAUUAACAUAUGUUUGGUGUGCCUCAGAAUUAUACUUACAUGAAUGUGACUGUACUUAGUUUAGAAAAGUAACUUGCUGGAAAAUCAUAUUUUGCUUGUGGAAGUAGGUGGCUAAACUGCCAAGUUAUCCUGGCUGAGUUGGAACAACUGGGGAUUUCUUUGUGAUUGUGUUCCCCUAAAGUUUCUUAUACAUUAACACAUAUCUUCUCUUAAGUGUAGUUUGUAACUUAUGUAACAGGUAAUUGACAAUUAUUAUUAUACUUGGUGUAUAUAAUAUGUACAAGCUUCCUAUGAUUAACAUUUUCAGCACUAGUGUCAUGAUUAUGAGAUGCCAAUCAGAGCUUACUGCUCCUUUGUUUUCAUUUUUGAAAUUAAAAGUUGUGCAUUUUCCUUUUGUACUGCUUGGUUCAAUAAUUCAUUUGUGUAUGGAUUUUGGACAUGGAGCUGCCCUCAUUCCUGUGCAUGAAUUGUGACUAUAGCAGCACCAGUGUUUUUUGCAAUAUUGUAUGUGAAUCCUCUUUGGUUAUACUCGAGCUAAUGUUCAGGCUUUGACAAUCAGUCCAGCCUUUCUCAGCCUAACAGAACAAGUUCCACUCUCACCUUUGGGUUCUUUGCUGACUACAACAGCAACUAAUUUGUUCAUUGCAGUUUCAGAUUUCAGCUUGAUCUAAACCUAAGAAGGUACAUUUCUCUUCUACCGCAAUUGCCAUAAUUCCAAGCUUGAUUUUUUUUGUGUGGAAUCCAUUGACGUCUUUUAGUUGGUAAGAAAGCCUUUCAAAUUUUUUUGGCGGCUUGCACAAUGAGAGAUCUCAUACCAUUCCAUUUUUGUACCUACUCCUUAACUAUGUGUCAAAAUGUCGAAAUUCCAAACGUAAACAUUUCCCCUUUUCUUCCUUUAUUUUAAUUUGAGUUAAAUUUCCACUAUUUCAGGAACAAAUGAGUGGUUUUUUGAUCCAACAGAUUUCUUAUGGGUUGCAAUGUUCCUUCUCCUCUGAAAAAACAGACUAUCCCCAAUAUAGGGAUGGUGAUGAAAGAAGGUACAGAACAACAUUUUCCAGAUUUACAGCAAUCAAUCGCUGAAAUUACAUGAAAAGAUUAUGGAGAUUGUAAAAUAAACAGUCUGAUUAGGUUGGCGCAGACAUAGAUUUUGAGUGUUGCUUCCCUGUAAAGAUAAAUUAUAGGGACCUGUUGGAGUUGCUCUUCAUCGCGAAGAGCCGGAAGGUGGAACAAGACAAACGACAACAGGUCCUUGCUUCAUUCUGGACCCCCCACCUCCAUUUAAUUCCAAAGUUCAAGUUUUGGAGAAGACAGCCAUAGGUUUGACCCCAAACCAAGUUAUCUAUUUGAGUUCCGGUUGAAUAUUUUUUUUCUUUCUUUUGCCCCAUCUUUCUGUUUGGACCAAUUGAGUUUAAUGGUGUCUGGAGAAAGAUGGGUGAAAUGCCUUGAAGGUGUAUGAUGAAUUUUGCUAACUCAGAAAGAAAGCUCCUUUCUUUGAUGCUCAAAAUAGCUGUGAUUAGAAAGAAGUUACAUGCACAUGCAUGUAUCAAUCAAACAAAAAACUUGAAGAAUUAAAGUAAAAGAGUGUAGCAUUUUAGGCCAAAGAUCAGAUUAUUUGGAUUCUGGUUUUGGUUGUGGUAUGGCUCGCAUUGUCGAUUUGAUUUGGUUGAUGUUAAUGUGGAGUUUGUUGAGUGGCUGUAAUGGUCAACAUAACACCCUGAAACAAGGUGAAAGUCUAGAUUCUGAUAGUUCAUUAGUUUCUGCAAAUGGGAUGUUCACUAUGACUUUUCAUAUUUAUGAUCAUGACUACAAUUUUACUUACUUAGCUAUAAAGUACAAGGAGAGUCAUAACUACGCGUGGAUUGCAAAUAGAGAAGAUCUAGUUGAGUACCCUUCGGGAGUUCUUACAUUGGAGACGAACAAUACUUUGCACAUUACUAGAGGUGAUGAUGAUCCAGUGCUGCUUUACUCUCCCGACUCGGAAACUAUCAAUGGUGAUGUUGUAGCUGUUCUUAAUGAUGAUGGCAAUUUUGUGGUACAAGAAGUGAGCUCUAAGAGGGUUUUGUGGCAGAGUUUUGAUUAUCCUGGAGAUGUGCUUCUGCCAGGUAUGAAGUUAGGGGUUAACCGUGGUAAAGGCCAGGAUUGGUCACUCUCGAGUUGGUUAUCUGAGAAAGCUGCAGUUCCAGGACCCUUCACUCUUGGUUGGGAUGGAAGCCAGUUGAUAAUUAAACGGCGAGGGAUGGUUUAUUGGACCAGUGGAGUGUUACGUGAUGGGAAGUUUGAGAAUAUUAAGCAGAAGAAGUAUAGUUAUAAAACUGUUUCAAAUGAGAAUGAAUUUUCUUUCACUUACUUAGCUGCAGAUCAAAAGGCUACACCACAAUGGCUGCUUACCACAAUGGGGCGGCUACAAGACUCUGAUCGAGGUGAUAUUGCGAAAGCGGAUUCCUUUUAUGGGUAUAACAAUAAGGAAGGAUGCCGAACGUGGGAUCAGCCAACUGACUGUAACCGUACUGGUGAUGUAUUCCAGCAAUACAAUGGUUACUUUAAUGAUGGAGGCUCUAGAACUGAUUAUCCGAAUGCAAGUCUCAGUCUUAGUGAUUGUAAGGCUAAUUGUUGGGCAGAUUGUCAGUGUAAGGGAUUCAGCUUCUUCUAUACUAAUCAGACUGGAUGCAAGAUUUGGAGUGGAGAUCGGAUGUGGAAUUCAGUCGAGACAGCGCAAGUUCAAAUCUUGUAUAUUAUCUGGAAGAACAGGAACCCGACGAGACGUGUAAGUGUACUCAUCCUAAGCUUGUUUAUAAUGAGCAUGCAUGUUUAUCAAUACUAUAGCUGGAAUAUUAUUACUAAAUAUUGAGUUAACUGUUGGCCUAUGCAGCAGCAUCUGAUUGGAUAUGGAUUGGAGUUUCUAUUGGCGUUUCUGUACUUUUGGUGGUGGUUUGCAUCAUCUGCUGUAUAUUAAGAAGCAGAAAGCUCUUCCUUUUUAGUAAGCUUCUUAAGCAUGAUGAACUUUUAGAGAUAAUUUAAUUUCCCGGAUUUGAAGAACAAAUUAACUUUCUGUUGUAAAUAGUUAUUAUUUAGUGGGCAUUCUUGUAAUUAACCGACUAGGGUUGUUAUUGUAAUUUAUAUCAUGGCCUCAUCUCUAUAUAAGAGAUGGUUUCCUACUCAAUAAUACAUACAUAUUCUCUCAUUCUCUUGGUUGUUUCUCUCCUUUCUCAAUCUAUUCUUUUUGUUUUACAACACGUUAUCAGCACGAAUAGUUCUAACGCUAAAGUAGUUUUUAUGCAGCAUAGAAGAGAGACCGUUGAUCAAUCGAUGGAAGAAUCAUUCAACAUGGUUCAAAAUUUCAAUCACAAACAAGCUCUCGGAUUGGAUUAGAAGUUUAGUCCACCAAUAUUCUCGAUUCUGACACAUAAGAUGAACACUCAUUGAUUCGUUUUGCAUCGAGUAAAGUUUUCUAAACUCUAUUAUAAUUCAUGUUUCUUUUAAACCUUGAUUACAUGAAAAACCAUCCUGAAGCAUGAACCAUAUGUUGUUUAUGUUUCGAUUUUAUGAUUUCAUGCUUAUUAACUUUGAUUGCAUAUUGAAANNNNNNNNNNNNNNNNNNNNNNNNNNNNNNNNNNNNNNNNNNNNNNNNNNNNNNNNNNNNNNNNNNNNNNNNNNNNNNNNNNNNNNNNNNNNNNNNNNNNNNNNNNNNNNNNNNNNNNNNNNNNNNNNNNNNNNNNNNNNNNNNNNNNNNNNNNNNNNNNNNNNNNNNNNNNNNNNNNNNNNNNNNNNNNNNNNNNNNNNNNNNNNNNNNNNNNNNNNNNNNNNNNNNNNNNNNNNNNNNNNNNNNNNNNNNNNNNNNNNNNNNNNNNNNNNNNNNNNNNNNNNNNNNNNNNNNNNNNNNNNNNNNNNNNNNNNNNNNNNNNNNNNNNNNNNNNNNNNNNNNNNNNNNNNNNNNNNNNNNNNNNNNNNNNNNNNNNNNNNNNNNNNNNNNNNNNNNNNNNNNNNNNNNNNNNNNNNNNNNNNNNNNNNNNNNNNNNNNNNNNNNNNNNNNNNNNNNNNNNNNNNNNNNNNNNNNNNNNNNNNNNNNNNNNNNNNNNNNNNNNNNNNNNNNNNNNNNNNNNNNNNNNNNNNNNNNNNNNNNNACAAGCAUUAUGGGCCAAAUUAUUGUGCACAUUAUGAUACAAACGUUAUGAAUUUAAUAUUCAGUUACGUCAAUUUGAAUAAUUUCCAUUAUAAGUCAUUAUGCUAGAAGCAUGAAUUUUGGGUUUAAUUACGUAAUUAUUAUAUAAACGUUAUGCCAGUAGCAUUUACCUCAUUUAUUACUAAUAUAGUAAUACAUAAUGUUAUAAGCAUUAAUGGGAUUUAAACCCAUAACCGCUACAUAAAUGAUAUUUGUUAUUGACUUUAUGUCGGAUCCUAAUUUAAUGUCAAUUACGAAUUAGAAUCAUAUUCAUUUCAAUUUGACGUUUAUGAGGGUAUAAUGCCAUAAACAAUUACACAUUUAUAACCCCAUAAAUUGUGCUUGAAGUAUUAAGGUUUAAUUACGCGAUUAUUACAUCAAUGUCAUGCCAGAAGCAUUUAUCCAAUUUAAUACUUAUGUGUAAUGCUAGAAGCAUUAAUGAGAUUUGAACUCAUUGCCUUUGGUACUUAACCGCUGCAUAAAUGAUAUUUAUUUAGUAAUUUAUGCCAUAUAUUAGUUGUCGGUUACCAAAUUCAAAUCGCGUCAGUUUUAUUCAAUUAGUUCUCAAUUAUGUUAUCGUUUAUAUCGAUAAUUAUUAUGAGUAUGUAAUGACAUUAAUGCCAGAAGCAAUUGGAGAUGCAAAUGAGUUAGUUUUGCAAAUAACCGCUACGUUAUUGACAUUUAUUGGUUCAGUAAAUACCAAUUUUAUUGCAUAUACAUUAUGUCAAUGAGAAUUAAAUUGUUUCCGUUAUAAUUUAAUUUAUUUCGGUUUAAUAUAAUUACUUUCACAUUAAGUUUGUCUGUUAUGAUUUAAUAACAUAUAUUGCACUGGUUUAUGUUACAUUGGUGAAUAUUAACGAUGUUAAGUCAGAAGCUUAAAUCAAGCAUGAAUAUAAAUGAAAUUGAGCCAGAAGCUCGACGUAAGCUGCAAAGCUAGAACAUAAGCUCAUCAUGUGUCGCCUUGAGUCCAUGACAAUGAUUAUAAUUUUUCUCAAACUAAGCUCACCUAGUUGGAUGCGAUGUCUAGGCAAGUACUUUUGAGGAUGUAUACUUAAGUGAGCCUCGCUCCACCACCUCAUCAUGGCUUACCUGGUAGUAUACAAUUGGAGUUACCGAAAGGGUUGAUUAAUAACAUUGCAUUUCUUGGUAGACCAUUCUUAGCCCAGUAGGCCUACUCUCCCUCUACAGGACCUAAAAGCCCAACAUUUCUCUCAGAUUGUGCCCUGUAGACUUGUAAAGUAUGUAGAGGUUUAUCUCUUUCACUUUAAUUAAAGUCAAUUCCUUUGGUCCAGCAUAAUCAAACAAAAGAAAAAUAAUCUAAUGACACUGGUUUUUCGUACCUAGUCAUUAUGCAUGUCUAUAAGGCACUCCAAAUAUUUUCUCAUAAUAGCUGUUGUUAAUACAUUCACCAUAUGUAAUGUGUAGUUAAUUGCCAGAAGCAUUUACACAUAGUUACGUGACAUAUUCACUAUGCUAAAUUAGUAGCGUGGAAUUAAUAUCAUCAAUGUUACAUGAUUAUAACUUGAAAAUACAUGUACCUAAUGAACUAGUAGUUCAGAAAUGAACCGGUAGUUCAGACAUGAACCCGUAGUUCAUGUAUAAAUCGAUCUUCUAGUUUCGAUAAUAAUCCCCUUAAGAAACUUGAAGUUUUAUUCCAAAUUCAUCAGACAUGAUAAAAUCGGUAGCUUUAUCAUGUUAAUUGGUAGUCUCCAGAAGAAACAAUUUGAACUAGACAUCUUCCUUGCAUGAAGCAAAAGAAUAUUAAAAUGGAAGGGCUUGUUGCCUUAGAAUCUAAAUCAAAAUUGAUAUUAGUUAUCAAUAUUAAGGAAUUGAGCGUUCUCGUCUGGCUGACGAGGUCAAAAUACCUUUACGUUUCAGAAGAACGUUAUCGAAAGGUAAGUUCAUUGAAACCAAUGCUUAAAACAUUGAAACCACUAGAAAAAUGGUGUAAUAUCUUUGCAUAACCUUUGAAUGUGCAGCCAGAAGCGUACAUUGAAUACAUUCAAAUUUAUUAGCUAGAAGCUAAAUGAUUCGAGCAAAUAGUAGCUAUAGUAUUGGUGUUUGCUGCACUCGGGAAAAACAUAUGAUGCACCGUAUCCUCAACUCAAUUAUCACACGGGCAUCCCCUUCAGAAUAAGGGUCUUGUCUUUGAUGACACAUUAUGUUAAGCUGCUCGUUAAGAAUAUUGAAUACUAGACCAUCAUAUGCAAAGACUAGAAUACACACUAUCUAUUUAUGCACAAAAUGCAAGGGAAAAUACGUGGACCUAUCCAACCAUCAUACGGACCAGUUAAAUAUUAAUGGUUUUGGUUGAUGCAUCGACAAAAGUGAUCAGAUGUCACAUCACUGUCCACAAGAAAAUGCUGCGUUUGCUAAACUCUCACCCAUGAAAUUUAGGGUACACCACUCGGAUUAUCUUAUAAAGUCUAUAAGAUAUGAUAAUGCCGGAGAGUUUACAUCGAUGACUUACGAUGAUUAUUGCAUAUCCCUUGGGAUAUGUUGAACAUAUAGUUUCCUAUGUUCACACCCAAGAUGGUCUCGUAGAUAGAACCUUGGUAAUGCGCACCAAGCUUUUACUAUUUGCGUCGGGCUAUGCAAUCUUGCAUGCAGCCAUGUCGGUCCAGUUGAGGCCCACUGCUACCCGUCUUAUUUCGUGUUACAGUUGGUGACUGGGUGUGAACCUGAUGUUUUUGCACUUACACGUAUUGGGUUUGCAGUCUCCAUGCCAAUUGUGCCGCCACAACGUACACAAUCGGGUCCUCAACAAAUGAUGGGCAUAUAUGUCGAUUAUGAACCCUAUCCAUUUAUGUGCUCCUUAGAGCCCUUGACAGGAGAUCCCUAUACCGCUAGAUUUGCGGUCUUCACUUUGAUGAGACAGUCUUCUCGCCGUUAGGGGGAGAUAAGAACGUGAGCGUUCCUGAUGAACGACGUGUAGAAUGUCUCAUCUUGAUCCCCAAACCGCACAUGUUAUAUUGAAAUGCGAAGAAUUCUACUUCUAGUUGAAGUGUAAAGAAUUCUAGAUCUAUGUAGUGUAUCCCAGAAUAUGCCAGACACUUCAUUAGAUCUAGUUAAAGUGACGAGAUCAUAUAUACCUGCUGCAAACCUGCAAGGAUAAAUAUCCCCGUAGGACGUAUAGUCCUAGUUGGACGAAGUACGGCCAUGGCGGCUAACCAGUCAUAGUCCCUGCCCUGAAGCGAGGUAGAUCAUUAGGUUUGAAUGAUUCUUAUCCCUAGAAGAGGGUAAACUUGACACAAAUGAAUCUUCUUGCCAUCGCAAUCUCAAACCAAUUCAACUCACGAGAUUAAUCCAGAUUAUGGGUUCGUCCUAGAAGAGACGAAGUUGGGGGACGCUCCAACAUUUAAACCCACUCCUGAGAAUAGAAAAUCUCGGUAAAUUUAGUGAGAUAUUGAAUCAGAAUGAGAGUUCAUCGAUGAUGUAUUUGUAUUUGCGGUGGCCACCGAAAUUAUAAUAAGCGAUGAUGUCGAACCUUGAUUCGUUGAUAGAUCUCAACGAAGAGACGACUGGCAAAAGAGGAAAAAAACAAUCCGGGUCAUAUUAGAUUCCUUAACUUAGAGAAAGGUGUUAUGGGCCUGUUGUUCUCACACCUCCCCAUGUUAAACAUGCAUAUAGAGUUUAAUGGGUACUUGUAAGGAAGCGUAAUGAGAAAAAUGAGAUUGUGAUAUACAAAACUCUUCUAAUGGCGCAAGGAUUUUCUCAUCGCCCUGUGAUUGAUUACGAGGAGAAGUAUUUUCCCGUAAUGGAAGUCAUAACGUUCCACUACCUUAUCAGUUUGGUAGUUUCCGAAUAACUGAAUAAGCAGCCUAUGAAUGUGGUAACAACUUAUCUCUAGGAGGAUCUGAAUAUAGAGAUAUACAUGAAGGUUCUUGAAGGACUUCUGUUACCCAAUGCAAAUAGUUCUAGACCACAGAACAUGCUCUCCAUUUGCUAGAGUAGUUCACUUUAGGGGUUCAAACAAUCCAGACGGAGUUGGUAUAACCGUCUAACUGUCUAAGUGAAUAUUUGCUUGGGAUGGGAUAUAUGAACAAUGGACUAUGCCCAUGCGUGUUUAUUAAGAAAACAAACUUCGGGUUUCAAUUUUUGGUGAUCUACGUCAAUAGCAUGAAUUUGAUUGAUACUCUUGAAGAGAUCAAGAAAACCAUAAAACACCUGAAGUCGGAGUUUGAGAUAAAAAGACUUUCAGAGACCAAAUCAUUUUUUCGACCUGAAGCCGUGUAAGUGCAAAUGGAAUUUUGGUCCAUCAAUCAAAUUACAUCUAGAAGAUGUUAAGAUGCUUUAAUGAGGAUAAAGCAAAGUCUUCAAGCUUACUCAUAAUCGUCUAAAGUCUAGUGAGACUCGUAUCAUCAUGUAGAUGAUAAUGAAGAGAUAUUGGGACCAGAAGACUCAUAUCUAAGUACAAUAGGCACAUUAUUGUACUUGGCUAAAUGUCAUAGACCGGACAUCUCACCCGAUGUGAAUUUGUUAGCUAGAUAUAGAUCUGCGCCAACACGCCGCCUCCGUAAAUGGCAUAAAAGACAAUUUUUCGUUACUUUAAAUGUAUGACGGAAAAUGGCUCGUUCUAUCCCUAGGCAUCAUGGAAUUGAUCAACCGCCUAUGAUUCUUGGAAUGAUGUUUGCCUUGUUAAAUAUGCUGAUACGGGUUAUGUAAACCCACACAAGGCUUAUUCCCAACUGGUUAUGUCUUUACUAUAGGGAAUACAAUAAUCUUAGAGGUAUAUGAAACAAAAACCUCUUUAAAUCAUGCUGACUAUUAAGUUAUUUAAGAAACAUGAUCAAUGUAGUAGUUUUACCUAGUGUGUAGUUUUCAGGGGGAGUCAAUAUUAGGGGGAGUAUCCUGAAGCAUACUCUUGACUAUUGUGUACUCUUUUUGUCCUUCGUCCAGGGUUAUUUUGUCCCACUGGGUUUUGUUACAUGGCAAGGUUUUAAUGAGGCACACAUGUAAUUGGUCACCUUGCUCAUGCUGCAUCUUGAAGAUGCCUUUAUUUGAAAUAUAUGCAUUUGCUCAUCUUUUCCCUUCGACCACGGGUUUGUCCCACUGGGUUUACCGGGCAAGGUUUUGGUGUAGCAACUAUUAUGCAUCUAUCUCCCAUAGACUCACAUCUUAUGAUUCAGACUGAACCACUUCACCGAAAUCAAGGGUUCUGACUAUUACUGCUACUUGUGCGUUGUACUCUUUUCUCCUUCGACCAGGAUUGUUUUUGUCCCAUAGGGUUUUUAUUACCUGGCAAGGUUUUGACGAGGCAACACCAAAACACAUAUCAGGGGAAACUAAUGACAGAGAAUACCCAAGGGGGAGUGUUGUAAAUAGUUAUUAUUUAGUGGGCAUUCUUGUAAUUAGCCGACUAGGGUUGUUAUUGUAAUUUACAUCAUGGCCUUAUCUCUACAUAAGAGAUAGUUCCAUACUUAAUAAGAUAUACAUAUUCUCUUCUCUUGGUUGUUUCUCUCAUUUCUCAACCUAUUCUUUUUGUUUUACAACAAGCAUAACUAUUUUCACAUUUUCUGUCUCAGUUUUUAACCAACUGCCCCUGGCGUUAACUCUGUCCAUUAAGUUUGUAUCAUGAGUGUAUAAACCUAGCUAGAGAUCUAUUUGCAUCAAAAGGAAGACUCGAUCAUCACCAACGAGCUGGUUUUAUAUCGUGCGUCUAACAGUUGAUGCAAAUAACUAAUUUGAUCUCGAAAUGACAAAGAAAUUUCCACAAGAAGACCUGGAAAUCAAGGACAUGCAUAUGUAUUAAUGUAGAUGUACUCAAAAAUGAAAAAGACUUCUUUUACCUAUCAAUUAUUUCUCCUUUUCUGGUUGCUAGUGGUUUGCUUGACUUCAGAAGGAAGACUUAUCAUAUGUCUCUUCAAAAUGAAAUAGACUUGUCUACGUGUUCACUAAUUUCUCUCCUUAAUUUUCUGAUCACGGCGUGAGUGUCAGUAUGGGAGUUCAGAGAGGAAGACUUGUCAUAAACAUCAAGACAAUACAAACGAACAAUUACUUCAGAUAUACAGAACUGCUAGUUUCUGGUCGUCUAUGUAUUGUAUGGUUCACAGUUAUGUAAAGAAUAUUGCCAUCGGAAUGACAAAGAAAAUUCCACAAGAAGACUUGGAAACCAAGGACAUGCAUAUGUCCUCAAUAAAGAUGGUUUGGAGUGUGCAGAGUGUUCCAACUGCAAUGAUCAAUAUCAAGGACUCGAAGUCCAGAUUCCUCGCAAUGCAGAACCUGCAGCAAUGAGUGGUUGUAGUUAUGAGAAUUGACAGGGGAAGACUUGUACACAAACAUUAAGGAAGACAAGAUAGCAACACUAGAUUUUGUGACCACACACCAAAUUCUAUGGAUGUAGAGAAAAGUUUGAUCCCAGGUCCCAGUUAGUCACUCAAUUAUUUCCGGACAGAGGGAGCGCAAGUUGAUUGGGACCAUGUAUUUGUAUCAAAGUUGAUGAAGACCAGACGAAAGGGACAUAUUCUACUGUGACAUACCACACCAACAGUUUACUUCAGAAUUCACAUGGAGAGAAGUCACAAAACUAUGUUAUGAAUUUAGAAAAAAGUUGAAUCCCCUUAUAGAAGUGAGCUGCGUGAUCAACUCGAGCUACUUUCUCUCAUGGCUUCUUCUUCUUCUGUACUGAUUAUGUUCUUACUCAGUACUGUUGUAGUUAUCAUCUCAAUCAUGAUGAAUGUGGAAGCUCAAAGAAUCCACUCCAAAUCCUAUAACAUCAGCUUGGACUCCUCUCUAUCCCCCAACACUAACCUCAGUUCAUGGCUCUCACCUUCAGGCCGUUUUGCCUUUGGUUUCUAUCGACAAGGCAACGGCUUUGCUGUUGGAAUAUGGCUUGUCAAUCAGCCUAAGCCACUAGUAGUCUGGACUGCAAACCGCGAUGAUCCGCCUGUAUCCUCUAGCUCUACUCUAACAUUGAAGAGAAAUGGUCUUCUCCUUCAGAGUUAUGAUAAGCACCAAAAAGAAAUAGCUGUUGCUAAUUUCUCAAGUACGGGACCGAACUCAGCAACGUACGGGUCUGCAAGUUCAGCUGCACUGCUUGAUUCUGGAAAUUUUGUGGUUUACGACAAUAACUCUACUGUUAUCUGGGAGAGCUUUAGUUUUCCAACUGAUACCAUUCUGGGGGGUCAAAAUCUGUAUGCUCCCGACAGGUUGGUAUCCAGUGCGUCUAUAUCAGAUCAUUCGAGUGGACGAUUUCGGUUGUGGAUGCAAGAUGAUGGAAACUUAGUUGCUUACCCAGUAAAUAGCUCCGCGAAUCCAGAUAAUGCUUAUUGGUCUACUGGUACUUAUGGUAAGGGUUUCAGUGUACACCUCAGUCUGAACAUAUCAGGUUUUCUCACUUUGCUACAGGAUGACACUAGGGUGCUCACUUUGGUCAAUGGAUCGUAUCAUGGCCGGAGUUGGAAUGUUAUCCACCGCGCAACACUGGAUGUGACUGGGAUUCUUCGACUCUACAUGCACAAUUUUGUGAGCAAUGAUAGUACUAGUUCCAGGGAAGAGCUGGUUUGGUCCUUUUUGCAGGACGAGUGUGAAGUCAAAGGUACAUGUGGCUUAAACAGUUACUGCACAGCAGUAGGAAACAAAACCAACUGCAAUUGUUAUCCAGGAUUUGUGAUCGACCCUACUGAUACAUCUGGCUGCUAUCGGAAUUCCAGUGGCGAUGGCUGCACUAGCAAUCAUCAAGACCCUCGCUUGCAGUACAAGGUAGCUGAAAUGGAGAAUGUGAUGUGGGGUGAUCAUCCAUAUUCAUUGGUAUCAAAGAAAAACCAGCAACUCUGUAGUGACUCUUGCCUGGAGGACUGCAAUUGUGGGGCGGUCCUAUAUACAAAUGCGAGUUGCAAUAUGUACAAGCUUCCAAUUAGAUACGGCAGGAUUAGUAAAAAUAUAUCUGAGAAAGGAAUCAAAGGAUUCAUCAGGGUGGCUCUUGGAAGCGUCCGUAGACCAAAGCCUACUGUUCCGGUCAGUUGGAGGGGAGAAAACAAAAGCAAUAAGAAUAAUAUGCUUAAAAUUCUUGCUCUAAGUCUGGGUUUCAUAGCUUUCAUGUGUUUUGUCUUUGCAUUCUCUAGCUUCUUUUUAUACAAGCACAGACUACAUAGGUAUCAGAAGCUGUUGCAGUAUACAAACUCCGGAUUAGUUGAUCAAGGGUACUUCACUUUGCAAUCAUUUUCUUACACUGAGCUUGAAGAAGCAACAGAUGGCUUCAAGGAAGAAUUGGGAAGAGGCAGUUUUGGGGCUGUUUAUAAAGGCACUCUGUCUGGCUCAACUGUUGCUGUCAAAAGACUGGAGAAAGUUGUGGAAGAAGGAGUAAGGGAGUUUAAAGCUGAAAUCACUACCAUCGGAAGAACUCAUCACAGAAACCUAGUUCAGUUGCUUGGUUUCUGCAUUGAGGGCUCUCGGAAGCUUCUCGUUUAUGAAUACAUGAGCAAUGGCUCACUUGCAGAUGUUCUCUUCAAGGCCAAAGGGGUGCGGCUCUCUUGGAAAGAAAGAGCAGGACUUGUAUUAGAUGUGGCUAAGGGGGUCCUCUACUUACACGACGAGUGUAGUGUCCACAUAAUCCACUGCAAUUUGAAACCCCAAAACAUACUCCUGGAUCACACUUGGACCGGCAAGAUCUCAGAUUUUGGUUUGGCAAGGCUACUAGUUCCAAGUGAAACAAAAAUUAAUUCUACUGGACUAGUUGACCAGAGAAGAAGUUAUGCAGCACCGGAAUUGAAGAAGAAUGCCAUGAUAUCAGUAAAAGCAGAUAUCUAUAGUUUCGGUAUUGUGCUCCUGGAGAUUGUAUGCUGCAGAAGAAACAUAGAAGUGAAUGUUUCAACACCGGAUGAUAUGAUUCUUUCGGAUUGGGUAUAUAAUUGCUAUGCAGCUGGAGAGUUAGGUAGGCUUGUGGAGGAGGAUGAAAAUGUGGAUUUGAAGACCCUAGAAAGAAUGGUGAAAGUGGGGUUGUGGUGUGUUCAAGAUGAUCCAGCUCUCCGUCCAUUCAUGAAGAACGUCAUCUUGAUGUUGGAAGGGACCAUGGACAUACCAGUCCCUCCAUCUCCAGGACAUCCCCAUCUUGUUUGAACUAUAACGCCAGUUCUACCUUGCCACUUCUGUAUUGUGAUGGAUGUAAGUAAUGUUUGUUUGAAGCAUAAUGGAAUCUGCCUUAGGUUCUUGUAUUACGAUGGCUAUAUGUAAUGUUCGAACUAUAAUGGUUCGUAAAUGAAUAAUGAUAUAGACUAAAUAGUUAAUUAGAUGUUUUGAAAUUGUUCAUUAUUCUAGUUCAUUCUUUAUAAUGCAAGUUAUAUGCAACUUCUAGUUCAAGGGCAUAAACUAUAACUGUAAAAAUCUUAUGAGUACGUACAUCCUCAAGAUCAGAACUGCAAUGGAAGAAAACAAAGAAACGAAUCACACAACUUUAUUCGCUUGACCUACCUAUGUACUAAAUCUAUGCGUCACCAAAUAGGAGAAGACAAGAAAACCUAAGAUUGCUGCUUAACUAACGAUUUCACCUGCAGCAAUCUCAACUACAAAAGAUGGAGAGAGCAUCUAAGUGCAGUCUCCUUUUGGAUCAAGUAAACCUUCCUUCCUUGGAAGUUGAUUUUGCACCCCCCACACCACCACCACAACUUAGAGGAGACUAUUCGGGUCGACCUUGGAGAAGAAAUACAAAUCUAGGGAAAAAAAAAAAAAAAGGACCAGCCCUCCAUCUACACAUGAAUUGACUCGACAAAAGACUUGCAUUUGGUCAACACACACCUUAAUAAUAUAUGUACAAAUCUAAGAGUGCAACCCUGGUUUUUCAUUCUAUCUUGACAAUGGCUUCCACUAGUGUUAUUUGUGUUUGUCUCCUCUGCCUAUGUUGUUUAAGUGAAGGAGCUCAACAGCAGCAUAAUUCCAGCCAAAUAGCCCGGGGCUCUUCACUUUCUCCCAUCACUCACCCAAGCUCAUGGCCUUCUCCUUCAGGCAAAUUUUCAUUCGGCUUUUAUCAGCAAGGAAGUGGCUUUGCGGUCGGAAUUUGGUUGGAGGAUAUCAGUCAGAAAACAGUUGUUUGGACAGCAAACCGGGAUGACCUCCCAGUCGCUUCAAGUUCAGUGCUGCAGCUAACAGAGCAUGGUGAGCUUGUCUUGCUAAAUGAGCGAGGACAGAAGAAACUCAUUGUCUCCAACAGUAUCAAUGAACUUGUGUCCUUUGCCUCCAUGCUUGAUUCUGGCAACUUUGUUUUAUAUAAUGAAAGAUCCGAAGUUAUUUGGGAGAGUUUUGAUUAUCCUACUGAUACUAUCCUGAAUGGUCAAACUCUGCCUGUUGGAGGUCAGCUAUACUCUAGCUUAUCAGAAGCUGAUCACUCUACUGGACGGUUUCAUCUCAAGAUGCAGGGUGAUGGAAAUCUAGUCCUAUACCCGGCAAACACUGAAGACUGGAUCACAGAUGCUUAUUGGAGCUCUAACACGUUCAACAUCGGCAUCAAUUUUCACCUCUAUCUUGAUCCUACAGGUACUCUUGUUAUCACCAAUACUACUACUAUUUGGAAAUAUUCCAACACUUACAGAGUUAUAUAUGAUGGAUCUAAAAAUGGUUACAAAAAUGGUACCAUGUACCGUGCAAUUGUUGGCGUGGAUGGAAAUUUCCGGUUGUAUUCUCAUGGUUCUGAUGAUAACAAUGGAAAGCUCCAACCAUUUGUUUUCAUGUGGUCCGCUAUAGAUAAGCCUUGCCAAGUUAAAGGAUUAUGUGGCCUUAACAGCUAUUGCACACUCGAUGAUGACCAACCAAGCUGUCUUUGUCUUCCUGGAUCAAAUUACGUUAAUAUGGAUCGGAAAAUGCUGGGUUGCUUGAGAAACUAUACAGAAGUAGAGUGUCAAGGAGGGAAAGUAAACAUAUCCAAUUAUCAAAUGAGCACCAUGAACAACAUGAUGUGGGGAGGCACUGAUUAUGCAGAAGAGGAGAUGUUGAAGGAAGAAUGCAGCAGGUCAUGUUUAGAAGACUGUAACUGUGGUGCAGCUCUGUUCCAGGAUGGAUACUGUACAAAGCAAAAUCUACCACUCAAAUAUGUCAGAAGGGAUCUAGACGAGAGUACCAUAGCCUUCUUCAGGGUUGGAAUGAUCACAAGCACCGAAAGCAACAACCAAACUGAUCAAUUUCCCACCACGGUGAAUCCAUUUAUGGAGGUUGAUAGCACAAGCAAGAAACUACUUGUGCAAGUUCUUGUUAUAACCUUAGGUUUCAUCAUAUUCAUAUGUGUUGCUCUCGCAAUUUCUGGAUUCUACAUUUUCAAAAUUCGAGUUCUACACUACAAAAGGCUCACAGAGGUUAAUGGUAAUCUGGGCCUGGCAGAUGAGGAGCUCACGUUGAGAGUUUUUUCAUACAAUGAGCUGAAAAGAGCUACAAAUGGUUUCAAGCAAGAAUUGGGAAAGGGCUCCUUUGGAGCAGUGUAUAAAGGGGCUCUUAACAAAGGCAAAAAACUCAUUGCAGUAAAAAGACUGGAGAAGUUAGUGGAAGAAGGUGAGAGGGAGUUUCGAGCGGAGAUGCAGGCAAUUGGAAGAACUCAUCACAAGAACUUAGUUCGAUUACUGGGUUACUCUGCUGAGGAGUCCAAAAGGCUCCUUGUCUAUGAAUAUAUGAGCAAUGGCUCCCUUGCAGAUCUUCUUUUCAGGGCAGAAUGGCAUCCAGCUUGGGAUGAAAGAGUGAGAAUUGCAGUUGAUGUGGCAAGAGGUCUCCUCUAUCUACAUGAAGAGUGCAAGUCCCCUAUCAUUCAUUGCGACAUAAAGCCUCAAAACAUUCUGUUGGAUGAAUCUUGGAAUGCGAAAAUAGCUGAUUUUGGACUUGCAAAACUGCUGAUGCCGGAUCAAACAAGGACCUUCACAGGGAUAAGAGGGACAAGAGGGUAUUUGGCACCAGAAUGGCAAAAGAACACUCCAAUCUCAGUGAAGGCAGAUAUCUACAGUUUUGGUGUAGUGCUUCUUGAACUAGUUUGUUGCAGGAGGAACUUGGAUGUCAGUGUUAGAGCAGAGGAGAUAGUUCUUUCUACUUGGGUCUAUAAGUGCUUUGUGAGUAGAGCGCUGCAUAAGCUUAUUGUGGGUGGCGAAGAAGUGAACAAGAAGAGCUUGGAGAAUAUGGUUAAGGUGGGAUUAUGGUGCAUACAAGAUGAACCAGCUCUACGGCCAUCAAUGAAGUCUGUAGUGUUGAUGUUACAAGGCAUUACUGAUAGUAUCUAUCCCUCCAUGUCCAACCACUGCUUCUAUGUGAUAAACCACUAGCCGUUGGGGAAAUGUUUCUCUGCUUAUUUGAAGUCUGUUAAAAGAAUAAGCUAGCAGUAUAUAUGCUGUUGGGCACACAGCAUGGUGCUAGUAAAAUAAAAUAAAAUAUCUAAGAGAGUUGUAUGUACUAUAUAGUAUGGUUCGUUUUAUUGAUGCUUGAUUGUAUCGUUGAUCUUAAUAAAUGUGUUGCAAGUCGAAGAGUUAUGUUUGUAUCUCUGGAUUGGCUGGGACAUGUAUGUACAAUGUGCUAUAGAAUAAUUCUGGAUUUUAUGGCACUAUAUGUAAAGGAAUCAAGACAGAUCUAUAGAAAUAGACUGUGCACAUUAUGACUUAUGACAUGCAUUCUGUUAAUACAUAGCCAAAACACUUGGCCAUACCGAGAAUGUGACCACAUCACCCGGUCGCCGGAGAUCAUUCCGGCCAGAACACCACCGGCAAGACCCCCACAAGCCUCCACAGAACGGAGGCAUAACAACAAAACACAUGCUAGAUUCGCUCAAGAACUACUAAACACCCCUAAAAAGGGAGAGGCUGAACUGCAUUAUGAAAGCAGUCCCACAUCGAAAACCAACGACAGAACCCCCAAUAUUAGCCUAUAAAACAGGCACGAAUUCCCAAAAGAGGUAAGUUCACUAUUCCUCACAUACUCCCGUAUUAUACAAGUAGCAACCAAACGCUCACUUAAGCAUCAGAGAGUCGAAGACUGGGCCACCCCAGUCCUGACUCUUGAUGCAUUGUUGCUUGUGCAGUUACAGGAUCAGGAGCGAAAAGAUUCUACCUCUCGUCCCGUGAUCUCGGAAGAGGUAGAAACAAUUGGCGCUAGAAGGAGAGCCCUCUUGUGGAACUCCCACUUAACCUGAAGGAUGGUGGAAAUUGUGGAUGACCUAAAUGAACCCGGGACUCAGAUAGAAAAAGAACUAUUCCAGUCUGGCGACACAUCCCUUAAUCAAGCUGCCGUAAUCACAGCCCCCAUUAGCCACCCCGAUGCUGCCACAGCCCUGAAAUUUUAAAAAAGACUUCCACGCGUUCCGAGAGCAAGCGGCUAAGGAUAAAGCGGAAGCUGAAGCGUACCGAGUACGUAUCGCCGAAUUGGAAAAGGAACAAUUCCUACUCCGUGCCACUCUGGAUCACCGCAACAAAUACAAUGAGACUCUAAACCGGGCAGCAAGAGUCACUCCCACCCCAAACCCCACCCUGACAUCUCUUUUUCCUAGCCAAGGACAAAAUAGUUAUGUGAUCCCGAGCGGCCCCAACCAGAUUAUUUAUGUCACCCAUUAACUCACCUACUCAUCCUUUCCACUCCCAGCCCCUCAGCCAUUUACAAUCAUUAACAACUCCAUUCCCCUGAUAAACCAGCCCGAGCCAUCUGCUCCACCCGUCCCUAAUCCCAACUCUGCUGACACUGCAAUCCCACCCCUCGACAUGCAAACCCGACUCCUCCUCCAACUCAGCAAUUAUGUCACUCGGUUGGCCUUGAGAAUUGAAGGUGUUGAGAGUCGCGGGAGCCAACGACCUCUAUUCUUGGGAUAUGGACAUCGCCCAAGUCCCUUCACGCCACGAGUCCAAUUGGAUAAGAGACCACCCGAGGCCAAACCCUUCAAAUUGGACAAAUAUAAAGGCACCGGGGACCCUCACCUUCACCUUGAAACAUUCCUUUCGUUAUGUAGCUCCACUCGGUACACAGACGCUGCGGCCUGCCACACCUUCCAAGAAAUCCUUUCAGACGAAGCACUUAGUUGGUUCCUCAACUUACCUCCAAAUUCCAUUGACAAUUUUGACCAGCUCUUGGAACGGUUCCUCAACCGUUUCAUACUUCAUGCCAGCAUCUAUCGCAGUGUGGACGCCUUGUUCCACAUCAAGCAAAAAGAAGGUGAAGGACUCCAUGAGUUAUUGUCCCGAUGGCAAUCAACCACAGCACGUUGUCACAACCUGGAGCCCCGAGUCGUUGAACAAGCUUUGCUUCCCGGCAGCUUCUUAAUGGAGAUUAACAGGAACCCGCCAGGGUCAUACGAUGCCUUGAUGGACCUUGCUGUCCGAUGGGCACGUGCCGAGUUUGCCAUAUUUGGACAUUCCAAUCCCACUACAACAGUAGCACUUCCUGCCCCACCCCUCAAGCAGCAAUCCCAGCAGAAGUAUGACCAUUAUGAUAGAGGGCAGGACAAGGGCAAGUAGCAUGGCAGCUCCCAUGAUAACCCCUAGGGCGUGGUUCAGACCGUCGCCACAGUGGGCAGCGGGGACAAGACCAUCCUUAUCAGUCCCGAGAGCAAAGCCUCUAGCAACAGCAACGUCGCCCCUCUCCGCCACCUCGUUAUGAGGUUCACACAGCCCUCACCACUACAUAUGAGGAUAUAUGGGCCAAGCACAAAGAUCUCAUUCCCUCGCCACCUAAGAGCAAGUAUCCAAAAAAACCCUGGCGCGCAACAGGGAAUAAAUAUUGUGCUUAUCAUGAUGACAACGGCCACACUACUGAGAUGUGCCACGGCCUCUGCAACGUAAUUGAGCACUUGAUCCGUAAUGGCCAACUCCACCAGUAUUGCACUCCUACAACGGGAGCUAAUGCCAUCGAGGUUCAUGGCCAGAUCCUAACCGUACAUGGUGGAGCCUCACGAUUCCCCCCUCGACAGCCUUCUGCCAAAAGGCAAUGUACGAACCAUUUGGAGAUUCUUGAAAUACAAAGAGGUGUCACCACCACCCCAUCAACAUGGGACCAAGUGUCAUUUUACAAGAGGAAAUAUACGAUCAAUUGCCAUCACAACAAACCCUUCAUAAUCAAUGUCCAGGUGGAUCACUACAGGUGUCACAGGGCCCUUGUGGACAUAGGAGCUGCGGUCAGUGUGAUGUUUGCCGAUUGCUAUAGAGGACUCAGGCGUGACCGGGCUAAGUUAUUUAACAACCAUGUGAUCCCCUUGUAAGCUUCUCCGGAGAGAUUGUGCAGCCCUUAGUCUCAGACCGCUUGUCGGUUUCAGUAGGGACCAGUCCCUGCCGUGUUUCCAUCACGGCACGUUUUCUCAUAGUUGAUUGCCCCUCAUCCUACAACCUCAUCUUAGGUCGCGGCAUCCUCUGGGGACUACAAUGCUUCAUUGCAGGCCACAUGCUACUCAUGAAGGUGCCCACCCCGAGAGGUAUACACACAAUCCAAGAGGAUAGAACCGCCAUAGAACAUUGUCACCUUAAUGCCAUCCAGCAGGGGCGCGGUGCCUAUGAGAUGUUGCCACUCAGCCCCUCGGAAUCCAUUGAUGAUCCCAGGGAUGACCUUGAAGGGAAAGACAAGAAGAAGCAAGCCCCGAGACCUAACCCGGCAGAGGACACAGAGUGGGUAUCCCUGUCACCCAGUGCUCCCGAAAGGAAAGUCCGCAUUGCCACGAACCUUGACCGGGAACUACACCAAAAGCUCAUUACCUUCCUCCAGGAUAAACAAACAGUCUUUGUUUGGUCCUAUGCUGACAUGCCCGACAUUUUCCCUGAUGUCAUCACACACAAACUUAACAUCCUCAAAGACUAUCCCCCUGUCAAGCAAAAAAGACGUGCCUUUAACCUGGAGAAAUAUCGUGCUAUCCAAGCCAAGGUCCAGCGACUAAAAGAAAUUAAGUUCAUACGUGAGAUCUCAUACCCAACAUGGGUUUCUAAUGUGGUCAUGGUCCCCAAGCCUAAUGGCAAGUGGCGAAUGUGUGUUGAUUACACUAACCUUAACAAGGCAUGCCCCAUGGAUAGCUUCCCCUUGCCACGGAUUGACCAGUUGGUUGAUUCCACAGUCGGCUUCAAGAUGCUCAGCUUUCUAGAUGCCUACUCGGGAUAUAACCAAAUCAAAAUGCACCCCACAGAUCAAGAACACACCACUUUUGUCACGGACAAGGGACUGUACUGUUACGAGGUCAUGCCUUUUGGCCUUAAGAAUGCAGGAGCAACCUAUCAGAGGCUAGUCAAUGCCAUGUCUGAAGAGGAAAUUGGGGAAGUCAUGGAAGUCUACGUGGAUGACAUGCUGGUCAAAAGAAAGACAGAUGAAGACCGCAUUGCCAACCUAGACAAAGUCUUCACUAAGCUCUAACACGCGGGAUGCGCCUCAACCCACAAAAGUGUAUUUUGGCUGUUGGUGGAGGAAAGUUUUUGGGUUUCAUGGUCAGUGAAAGAGACAUUGAAGCUAACCCAGAAAAAAUACAAGCCAUACUUGACAUGACGGUCCCGAGGACCCUGAACGAGGUCUAGUGCCUCACGGGACGCUUGGUAGCCUUGGCUCGUUUCAUCUCCCGCCUCACAGACAAAUGCAACCCAUUGUUUCAACUGCUAAAAACUCAAUACAAGGAGAAUGUGGCAUGGGGCCCUGAACACGACGAUGCCUUCAACAAUAUCAAGGCCUACCUUGUAGUAGUCCCUCUUCUCUCCAAGCAUGUCCAGGGAGAAGUACUUUACUUGUAUUUGGCUGUUUCCGCCACGACCAUCAACGCUGCUCUCACACGCCAUGAACAUGACAAUCAACUCCCUGUAUAUUACUGUGGCAGAGGGUUCACGGAUCCCGAGACCCGCUACCCUGACAUUGAGAAACUAGCCCUAGCCCUCAUCACUGUAGCAAGAAAACUCAGACAAUACUUCCAAGCUCACACCAACCAUGUCCUAACCAAUCACCCUUUGCGGCAAAUACUCCAAAAGCCUGAAACGUCAGGGAGCAUGGUAAAAUGGGCAAUUGAAUUGGGGGAAUUUGACCUACAUUUCAAACCAAGAACAGCCAUAAAAGGGUAGGCCGCUGCGGAUUUCAUUGCCGAGUUCAUCCCCCUGGACCCAGGCAAUCCAAACCUAGAAGCCCUCCCCCGGGACGCCAUAUGGGAACUUCAUGUUGAUGGAUCCUCCAACAACAGGCUCAGUGGAGCAGGGAUAAUAAUCACAGACCUAGAGGGGAAUUCGUAUGAGUAUGCUCUCCGGUUUGAAUUCAAAGCAUCCAACAACAUAGCUGAAUACAAGGUUCUCAUAGCCGGCAUUCAACUCUGUCGAGAACUCGGUGCCCUGCAUAUCCACAUAUUCAGUGAUUCUCAGCUUGUGGUCAAUCAAGUGGCAGGAGACUUCAAGGCCAACCAGAAUAACAUGGGAUCCUACAAAAGUCUAGCUGGCGCCCUCUUGCAACACUUCACAUCUUACAAACUCACACAAAUCCCAAGGGCCAAAAACUCCAAGGCAGAUGCUCUCGCGAGACUCACCACAACCCUUCCCGAGUCAACGCCACCAGAUGUGCACAUAGAAAUCUUGGACAAACCUAGUAUCUCGAAGGCUUAUUCAGAAAUCUUUGUUCUCGAAGCGCCUAGCCAGCCCUCGUGGAUGGACCCAUUUGUGGCCUUCAUUUCUAAUGGUACCUUGCCCGGAGACAAACAAGAGGCACAACGGUUGCGCCACAAAGCUUCACUCUACCUGCUUAGAGGCGGAAAGCUAUACCGCCGUGGUCAGUCGUGUUCGUUUUUGAAAUGCUUACCUACAGAAGAAGGGCACAAAGUGUUGAAAUCACUCCAUAGUGGUGUCUGUGGAAACCAUGCGGGAGCUCGGAACCUCAUGUUCAAAGCACUAAAAGCUGGAUACUCUUGGCCAACCUUAGAACAAGAUGCAAAGGCAGUUGUCCAAGCAUGCAUUCAAUGCCACAAAUUUGCAAAUUUUGCCCACCAUCCUCCAGUUCCGCUAUCUAUCAUCAUUUCCCUAGUCUCUUUCAGUCAGUGGGGACUCGACUUCGUGGGACGGUUACCCAUAGCCUCGGGACAACUCAAAUUUGCAAUUGUCAUUGUGGACUAUAACACGAAGUGGAUAGAGGCAGAACCCCUUGCCACGAUCACAACUUAAAAGGUGAUAAACUUCCUAUGGCACAAUUUAUACUGCCGGUUUGGGGUACCGCAAGCCAUCAUCACAGAUAAUGGGACACAAUUUGACAAUGACACAUUCAGAGAAUUCCUUUCUGAGCAAGGCACUGCAAUCUUCUAUGCCUCCCCAACACACCCUCAGACCAAUGGCCAAGUGGAAGCCAUAAACAAACUCAUCAAGCAAAACCUGAAGAAACGCCUGGAAGAUGCUAAAGGGUUAUGGGCUACCAAGCUCCCGGAAGUCCUUUGGACACUUCGUACCACCCCAACAACAGCUACAAGUGAAUCCCCAUACCUCUUGUCCUAUGGCGGUGAUCCCUAUGGAAAAGGAGGUCCCAAGUGAACGUGUCACAGCAUACGAUCACGAGACAAACGCCACGGGACUACGACUCAACAUGGAUCUCCUCGAGGAACGCCGGGACAGAGCACAUUCAAGGAAUGCCAACAACAAACAAAAGAUUGCCCGACACUACAACAAGAAAGUUGUUUCUCGCCCUCUAAAGGUAGGUGACUGGGUCAUGAAAGAGGUCAUUCCCCACCCCACUAGACUCAAGGCAAAGCAGGAAGGCCCAUUGGAGAUAGUUAAUGCCCCGAGACCAGCUACAUUCUAUCUCCGCAAUACUGUUGGUCGAGUCCUACCUCGCCCCUGGAAUGCUCGCCACCUCCACCUCUACCUUGUUUAAAUUAUCAGCACUCCAAAGCCAACAUGGCAGCUAGCACUUCAUUACUUUGUGUACUUUAGCUCGGUAGCGGCCUAAAUCAAAUGUACACCUUGCCCAUUAGCAGCCCAUCCUAAAUGAAGAUGCUAUGUGUUCUCUUAUCUUUUUAAACAUACCGUCCCAAGAACACAGAACAAAAUAACAAUAAGAGAUGAACCAUAAAAAACGGCAUUCUUUAAAGUAAACAAGUAUCAACCUAGACUCCCAGGCAAUCCAUUUAUAACAACUUGUUCAAAUGGUUAACCACACCACCAAUAUUGUUUCCAAAGCAAACAAGAAACUAAAACCUAACAGAAACAGCAAAAAAUUACAAACUAAAAACAAUUAUUCUCCCCAGAAGACGCCCCACUUGACUUGUUCACGCUCCCGCCACUCUUCGACCCGCUACCACGUCCACGGCUCUAGCUGAUGUUCACCAACACCCUCUGACCAUAAACAUGUUUAGAGCGGUCACGUGCAACAGGUGGAGGCCUCAUUGACACAUUAGGACGCACCAGGGAGCUCACCUGUUGCACUUCCAUGACAGGUGACUUGGUCGCUAGGAUCUUUUGCACUUCAGUCCGUGGAGGCGCCACAAGCCCAGGGACUCAAGGAUUAGGAGGUUUAACAGCAGACGACGUAACCUGAGACACUGCCACUUGAGCGGAAGGGGAUCCCUCGGGACGUGGAGCCCUUAGGGGAGAAAAAGCAACCAUAGCAAGCGGCGAGGUGUGCCCACAACAAGAGCUUCUUUUGGCACAGCAGAGGAGGUGGCACGCCAGGUCUAAUGCUGUUUUGCCAGCGACCGCGAGAUCUCGGCUUGCUUCCUCUGUUCCAGGGUCAUCUGCUCCCAAGCCUUCCUCGCUGCAUCCCUCUCGGCAUAAAACUUACGCAUAGCAGCCUCGUUAAUCCAGCCAGCUUGGCACCCAGUCUUGCUCAGCUCAUCCUGUCCCCGGUUAUAAGCACUCUUCAGCUACUGCUUAUUGUCGCUCUCCCGGAACACCCUCUACCCAGCCCCAGCAGCCCUAGUACACUUCAACUUCCACACCCUCUCCUGCUCCGCCAAGGCACGGUUCAAUCUUGCCACCUCAGCCUCCAGAGAAACAACCUUGGCAGCAGCCACCUCCCCGGCUUCCACCUGCUUGUCCUUCUCUUGCAUAGCUUCCUUCAACUCAGCCACUUCCUUCCCAGAUGCAGCAGCCUGGUCUCGGAAGACAGCCACAUCCUGCUCCAGCUGCUCUAGAUGCUGUGAGAGAGCGCGAUUAUUCUCUUCUGCCUCCCUUAGCUGUUGGCAUUUAGCCUCAGCAUCACCCUGCAAAUGGGUAACCGCCCUCUCACUAGCAGCGUACAUAAGCAGCGUCGCCUGCAAAUACGAACCAAAACAUAAGUAUAAAAAUAAAAUAAAAAAAAGGCAAAUUGCACACCAUGUACACUUACCCGAGUCAACUUCUCGACGAGAGAGACACGCCAACCAAGGGAUCAACCUCCUCCAAGGCAUUGAUGUCGCGAGACCGGUGACGCAUGUCGUAUGCCAUUUGUGCCAAGUAAGGCUGCACCUCCCCUGUCCCCUCCAAUGCCUAGGUGAUCUCAGCUAAGCUCCCGGAACUCCCGGAACGCCCUUCCUUUCGGGAUCUUUUUGUUUGACCCUCACGUGACGACUCAACCCUCUCUUUCCUCUUCCGGGUCUUCGUCACGACAACCUGCUCGGAUUCCUGCCCAAGGGGAUCCACCUCCUUUGCCACAAGGUUCUCGCCACCAGUUUGGGGCUUGCCUACGUCUUCCAAAGAUGCAUCUCCCACCCCAACUGGCUCAGGGAUGUGCUCUUCCUCCAUUGGAACCUACUCAUGGUUGUCCCCGUGGUCGCCAUCCUCAGUCUCUGUUUCCUCGUCGUUCACCUCUUGGUCACCCAAGCCCAUUACUUCUACCACCAAGGGAGGCACAUAAGCAUAGUCCUCGUCCUCCAGGUUUAACCUCACAAAGUCAUCCUCACCCUCGCCAAACUCCACCUCCUUCCCUUCACCUGUCUCCAGGUCGAUGUCGAACCGCUUGGCAUGAGCAGCCUCAGUAAGCAACCCAUCCAGCACAUCCUGGUCAGAGACCUUGUCAUAAGGCCCUUCCUUCUUCUGCGACCCACUGUCCCGAGGCAUCGUCACUGCACCAGACAAAGUAAGGGUCAAAACACAGACAAAAAGCGUAAAUCUAUGAAACCACUCAAAGAAAAAUACAUACCUGGGACCCGGGCAUAACUGAAAUAACUAUAUAUGCCAAGGCGGCAUAUCCGGUAUGAGCUCCUACACUCGAAUGCCACAACACCAUCAGCUCGGUUACUUCAUAUUCUUGGGGCACUACACAAAGUCAGCAGUUAGCACAUAUCCGGUAUGAACUCCUACACCCGAAUGCCACAACACCAUCAGCUCGGUUAAUUCAUAUUCUUGGGGCACUACACAAAGUUAGCAGUUAGCAGGGGCAGAACAACCCAAAUAGUAAGAAAACACGAAGACACAAAAUACGAUACCUAUUUUUUAGAAAGCCCCAGGAGCCCGGAAGGGAUAUCUAUGCCACUCCUGCCACUGACCCUCGACGAGGAAACACUUCCGUCGCCAACUCUCGUUCGUAUAGGUGGGCAAGUCUUCCACCAAGAUCUUGAACUUUCCUCGGGACUUCAAGGUCACGCAACCCCUGCUGCCCUUCUUCGCACAGUACGUCAUUUGCCAACAUACGUUGAACUCUUCACAAUUAGGGAACUCUUGCCCCAGCAAACAAAAUAGUACCUCUGUUCCUAGUAUCUGCCGCAACAUGUUCGGGGUAACCUGCCCCAGGGUGACAUACAGACAUGCUAAAGUGUACUGCACAAAAGGGGGGCAGCGGGAACAUCAACCCUCAUCUUAAUUGGUACUCGUAUACCAGGGUGAAGUUGUCUGGAGGAUCCCAAAAAUUAACACCCUUGCCAAGAGGCCGCAACAAGACCUCAUUGAGAAUACUCCAAUUUUGCCUAAGAGCUUUUAACUCUGACGACGUCAUACUCUCGCCAGGAGGAUCCCAGAACGAGUUGUCAUCCUCCCGAGAUCUUACCAUGCUAAACUCUUCUACCUCCUGCAAUCGAGGGUCAGACGAGGACACGUGAGACCCAGCAUCCGUAACGGGAAUGCCCUCCCCUAAGUCAAGUGCAACUUCCGCCAUAAGAUAAUUCACUUCUUCCUCCCACCGGUGCAAGGUGUCCGAAUCAGGAUCAGUCGAGCUAGAGACAACCACAAUCUCCUCGCUGGACACCCACACCGGAUCUGUCAUACCCUACAUCCUCACAAGUUAGACUCUCGCUACCUUAACCCUAACUAACCCGAUAGUUAACCGACCAAUCCCUUACUCUAGACUCUCCUAACAAAAUCACAACUGAUAUGAGAACCACAGCACAAUCCCUACCGAUUCGAAAUAAGGUAAAAGCAUAACCCAUAAUAGGAAAUUGACAAGUUCAUACCUCGGAAAAUUGGAUUUGUGUAGUGGCAGUGCAGCUGGUUGCAAACAGUCGAGCGCUCGCACCCAAUCGAUCGAGGAUGAAAUUGGAUGUUCCCCAGGUUCGAUUCACAGUUCGUCAAAGCCUCUCUUCAAAAAACCGAACCCACUAUUCAACCCUAAUCUCUUUGUUUUCAAAAUGCAAACUCCCUCCUCUGUUUCCACAGGUCUAUUUAUAGACAUCCCAGCCAACCACGACCGUCCAGAUCCUGCCAAUCUUAAUGGUCAGGGAACAACCACGUCGAUCACAAUCAUGCGAGCCAUUUAAGACGCGCCCCACGAUCCCAAGAUUCCACGAUCCCACGAAAGCGCGUUAGUUACGUGCCAGUUACAAAAAAAAAAAAAAAAAAAAACAACAACAACAACAACAGAACCAUUACGUCCUUAAAACUCGCCAUAAAUGACCACGUGUUCCUCAUAAACCGGCCAUUUAUGACACAUGAGAUAUGACGCAAAGGUUCGUACCAAAUACUCGGAACUCAACCCCAGCCACCUUGCGACCCUCGCGUGGGGACUUGGGGACUCGACACCAUGCCUCCAACUCUCGGGUAAAACACAUUCUCGACACAACUUGAGAAUAACUCCCCACCCAAGAGCUCUCUCGAACUAGGGACUUGGGGAGUUAUUAAUACAUAGCCAAAACACUUGGUCAUAUCGAGAAUGUGACAACAUAACCCGGUCGCCGGAGAUCAUUCCGGCCAGAACACCACCGGCAAGACCUCCACAAGCCUCCACAGAACGGAGGCAUAACAAAACACAUGCCAGAUUCGCUCAGCAACUACUAAGCACCCCUAAAAGGGGAGAGGGUGAACAACAUUGUGAAAGCAAUCCCACAUCGAAAACCAAGGACAGAACCCCCAAUAUUAGCCUAUAAACCAGGCACGAAUUCCUAAAAGAGGUAAGUUCACUAUUCCUCCCAUACUCCCGUACUAAACAAGUAGCAACCAAACGCUGACUUAAACAUCGGAGAGUCGAAGACUGGGCCACCCCAGUCCCGACUCCUGACGCAUUGUUGCUUGUGUAGUUAUAGGACCAGGAGCGAAAAGAUUCUACCUCCCGUCCCGUGAUCUCGGAAGAGGUAGAAACACAUUCAUAGUUAUCCAUGAUGCAAACUUCGUGGUUUAUCAGAAAUUCAAGGGUUAUAACUUAUAAUAAAAUACUGAUUAUAAAUGGACUGCUUUGAUAACUAGAAACCAAGUAUAAUCUUCUUGUGAGUAGUUCUUGUUUUUUUUUUUUUUUUUUUUUUUUCUUUAUUCAUUUUUCAAAUAAAAUCUUCUUGUGUUACUAAAAUUUUCAGCUUUAUUUAUUUCUGAAUUAGAAAGAUGAUGAAAUAUGGUCCCUCUUAAAGAAUAUAGUAAUACCAAUGCACCUAGGAGUAAAAAGAGCACUAUAUGACCAAGUCAGUAAAUCUUAAUAGACCAGAGAGGUAGAGGAGACCUAUCAGGCUCAUAGGACAUAAGUGACUAAAUCAGCAAACUUAUUGGUAACGUCUACCCCACCAUGAUGUGUGCUGGCCUGGACUCGUAAGUCUUCCUCUAGAAUUGGCAUUCUCACUCAGAAUGGAAAUUGCAGAAGUCAUUUCAAUAAACUGAUAGGUUGUCCUAUAUGUCACCAACUUGCUAUUGGCCUACUCUUAUUUGCCUCAAGAUGCAAGUCCCAAAUCAAAUCCCUACCACAACUAAAAAAAGGAAAGAUGUUCUUUCAUUAUGUUCUCAAGCCAUUCGAAUCAAAUGAAAAGCAAGAAAAAUAUGAAAGUACCACAUAUGAGAGAACCAUUUACUUUUCUAUAUAGGCAGAUUUCUCAGCUGUAACUAAAAUAACUCUUACCUGAAGAGCUGCGGGUGCCAUGCCUAAUGACGAUCAACAAGCCGAUCAGCAUAAUCGCCUGGAAUUGUUUUCUCUGGAAUUCACCUUAAGAGGUAAGGACAUGAAUUUAGACUGCAUCAUCUUCAGCCUCACUGAGUGAUCUAGCUAGUCCAAACAAAACACAAGAAUUUAGCCGUUUAAAAGGAAAUUCACAUAUAGUGUCAGACAAC